This 64782-nucleotide long non-coding RNA is filed under the name Phaseolus vulgaris (common bean). RNAcentral describes it as "long non-coding RNA (PVUL_LNC004767)". The stretch from base 46539 to 46677 matches the Rfam family "Small nucleolar RNA Z247". The record is from RNAcentral. Lineage: Eukaryota; Viridiplantae; Streptophyta; Magnoliopsida; Fabales; Fabaceae.
UUGUAGAAAACAGGUAUCACAUCCCUUCCAUAUCUCUUCUUGCAUUCAAGUAUCUUAGUGAGUUCAUUCAAGCACCAAGUGGAAGAUGCAUAGUUUUGGGAGAAAACGAUGACAUAAAUCUUUGAUUCUUCUAUUGCAGAGAGUAGUGCAGGUGAAAUUUCUUCGCCCCGGGGUAGUCUCUCGUCAAUAUAUGCUUGAAUGUUCUUCCUUUGCAGUGCUGCAUGAAGGUGACGAAUGAAGUUGUCACGUGUGUCUUCCCCUCUGAAGCUGAGAAACACAUCAUGCUUUGUUAGAGAAGCAGACACGGGGAAUGAUGAAGGACUUCCUGACAUUGGAAUCAAUUUUCUCUCUUUUCUCUUGCAACUCUCAGUGCCUUUGUUUGUACACAAAUCAACUCUUGGAAAAGUCUUUGAAUUUUCUCAAAAGUAUCUUUCACAGAUCACGCACGCGUGGAAACAUAGCUGUGUUAAAAUCCUUAUUUAAGUUUUAAUUGGGCCUUGUAGUGGGCUUUGUAAUGUGCUUUUCUUUUCUCCUACAUUGCUUUAUAUAUACACCUCAGCGUUUGCUUUCUACAUUUCAUUUUACAAAAUACAUUCUCUCAUUUUCUACCUUUUAUAUUGUCUGAUUCCGUUCUCUCUUUAUUUUUUUUCAAAUCUCUUUUGCUUACAAUUUUUUUUUCUUUUUUAAGAAAUGUACUUUUUCAAGUUUAAUUUAAUUUUAUAAAACAGUCAUCUUUCUACAGUAUUAUCAUCUCUUACGUGAGAUUAUUAUAUAUUAUUUGGUGAUCUAAGUAAACUUUUAAUCCAAUAAACUUUAAAAAUAAUUCUAAUACUAUAUUAAAAAAUGAAAUUUAAAUCUAAUUCUAUUUUAUAAAAUAUAUUUAUUCAAUGCUAAAAUAUCUCUAAUUGAGUAGGGAUGUUCAAAAUACUUAUUGGUUCUUGAUUUUCACUUUCACUUUUAAGGUUUUUCUUCGCAGACACGUAGUAAACAGAAAUACAAAAAUAUGAGUCAAUGGAAGAGUCUAACGAUUCGCAGAAUAUUAUGGUGUCUAGCUUUAUACCGCAUUAAUGCGAGGAGUUUCUUUAAUAUUUUUACUCAAUUUAUUUAUUUUUAAUUCUUUUUUUUUUCACACCUUUUACAAAUAAAGAAUCGUAUUUCUUUAAUAUAUUUUAGAAAAUAACCACUAAACCUUAUUAUAAAAUAUAUUUAUGAAAUGCACGUGUAAGAAUAACAGGAAAAAUAUUACUACGAAAAACAAUAUAUUAAUAUUAAUAUGUUUCUUAAUAAAUUUCAUACCCACUGUCUAUUUAUAAAUUAAUAUAAUAUAAAUAUCUUUAAUGAUGUUUUUGUGGGUAGCUUAUUUCUCUAACGCAGAAUAUUAUGGUGUCUACUUUUAUAAAACAUUACAUUUUGAUUUUAAUAUUUAUUAAAUAUUUUUUAUUUGGGAUGAAGUAACGAUGAUGAAUCGAAUGUGUUUUGAAGUCUGACAUAACUUUUAGAGAUGUUAUGAGAACGGUUAAUGACGGAAAUUAUCAAAAACCUUUUGGGGGAAGGUUGUGGUUUUGGGAGGUGAUUUCAGGUAAAUAUUGUUAGUGGUAAAAAAAGGAUUAAGAUAUGAUGUUGUGAAGUCAACAAUCAACUUUUCUCAUUUGUGGUUAAAUUGUCGAGUCUUAAAACUUUCUCAAGGAAAUCCAACACGAUCUAUUGAUUGAGCCCACAAAAACACCUUUGUUAUCAUUGGUGAAUUUUGUUUAUCCUAAUUUAUUGACUGAUAUGUUAUGUCCUGAGUACUUUGAGUAUGGAGCAAUACUUUGUCCGACAACUGAAUCAGUAGAGCAAGUGAAUGAUUUUAUUUUAUCUCUGUUAAGUGGUAAAUAAAUAAAUUAUCUUAGUUCGGAUACACCUUGCCAAUUAGAUUAAGAUCAAGAAUUUAAAGUGAAUGGUUCACUUCUGAGUUCUUAAAUGAGAUAAAAUGUUCAGAGAUACUAAAUCAUCGCCUUCAUUUGAAAAUUGGCGUGCCUAUUAUGCUUUUGAGAAAUAUUGAUCAAACCAACGGUCUUUGUAAUGGAACAAGGUUGCAAGUUAUUGAUUUGAAGAAAAUGUUAUUUGUGCAAUAGUUCUAACAGGAACAAAUAUUGGUGAUAAAAUCUUUAUUUCAAUAAUGAAUUUGAUCCCUUUAGAUGUAGGUAUGCCAUUCAAAUUCUAGAGAAGACAAUUUCCAAUAACUUUAUGUUUUGCAAUGACAAUUAAGAAAAGUCAAAGUCAAUUAUUGACCAAAGUUGGUUUAUAUUUUUCACGUCCAAUUUUCACACAUUGAUAGUUGGAUGUAGCUAUUUAUAGAGUUAGAAAGAAAAAAAUUUAAAAAUUCUAACUCUUGAUGAAGAUGGGAAUGCAACAAACAAGAAAAAGAAAAUGUUUACACUGAAACUUUUGACAAUAUUUAAAAACAAUAGAAUUAUAUGAUAAACUUGGAAUAAUGGCUAAUUCUCCCUGCACCCAAUAUUUUUGAACAUGCAACUUUUAAAUUUGCUCCCUUGUAAUUAUAUUUUCUUAUGUGUGAUGUAGUAACAGUUGCCUUAUUUAAAAUGUUACUAAAUAACAUAUCAUUUAUAUCUGUUAUUUUUAUUCUGUUCUGAUUUUAUAUAUAUGUUAACGAAGUUGAGAAUUUUCUGAUUUUACAGGUCCAUGCACAAACCUAAUAUAAUGAUAUGAUAUUCAAUAUCAAGAGGUACUUGUCGUAAAACGGGGAAUAUGAGAGACUCCAUAGAAUGAAGAAAAAGUAUAAAGAGGAUUUACAAAUUACCCUUUCAAAUGCAGCUCCUCAGAAUUUCUUAAUGCCUUCACUGCAAAUGCAACCCAAAUAAGCUAAAGAAGUUAAUCAAACUAUACAUUAAGAGUUUCAAGAAAAUGAAACUCUGGAACAACAGAGCAACCCAUCUCAUGCUCAAUAGAAACAUCAAACUAUAUCUAACAAUAACUUAGAAAUCUUUGUCAACAAUUGAACGAACCCACUCCUAAAAUGCCAUUGAAAAUGUAAAUAAAUAAAUAAAAAUUAAAAAUGAGAAUUCAUAAUAAAAUUUCAUCGUGUUGAAACUUGUAAUUUAGAAGUAUUACGAUAAGCCAGUUUUGAUCCUCGCGAAUGAAAGACUAAUUAGCAGAAAGACUGUGCAAAAUUCCUUCCACUGGAUUCUUCGAUGUCAACUGAUUUGGUAUAAAGAGGACAUAUGCCGCAUUCUUUUAUUGUGAUAACUGAUUUCAACUCUCUCACAAGUAAUUUGCGAUUUGACCGAUUUGGCCGCAGAAAGGGAUCAUCAUAAUCAUGCGAACUGAUCUCAAAAGUGAAGCUGCGAGCAUCACACAGCCUAAGGCUCAUGCCGCUUGCCCUUAGGGACUCCAAGUUAAAUUUCCACACCAAUGUGUGAUCUUUAUCAACACCUCUCUCUUCAUCAUCCCAUCUGAAAUAGUUGUUUAACACAUCAUUAUUUGGAAUUAUCCGUGUGCCAUGAUCAUCAGAUUCAAAUUUUAGGCUGUAACCAAAGGAACCAUAUCUACCUUUAACAACUUUCGUAUCUAACACUUCAAAAACCACACACAAAGCGAAACCACUGAGCCUAUCAUCGCUUAAAAAACUUAAAUCUUCAUUUAUAGUCACUGAAUGUCCCUUCCCACGAAAAUGGAACCAACCAGGAACUGCACUCCCUGGAAAACAGAAGAACACACACCUAUAUCUAUCGUCGGUCAUCCUAAGCCUUGCAUCCUCCUCAAUGUUAGCACGACCACCUGAAUCCAGUUGUUGAGCAUUGGUCAAAAGAAAUUUGAAGAAACCCUCUUUGGAAUUUGACAAGUUUGGAACAAGAGAAUUGGACAUCACUCUUCUAAUGGAUGGGCAAUCCAAUGCCACUAGUUUUUUUAGAAAUGGUGGAAUCUCUGGGAUGCAUUCAAGCUUUUUGCAGUCGCUUAAAUCAAGCGAUUUCAAGCUUGAAAGAUGAGCAACGCUCUCAGGAAGGUUCACAAUUCCGCUAUCACACAGUGACAGUUCCAUUAAUGACGUCAAGCGACCGAUAUCUCUAGGGAUUUCUGUUAAUCUGGCACACCCCGAACAAUCAAGUUUAGAGAGAAGCUUGAGAUUAACAAUGGAGUUUGGAAGUGACUCCAGAUCAGUGCAUUUGCGGAGCUCCAGGGAUCGAAGAUUAACCAAAUUGGCAAAUGAGGAAGGCAGUUCUUUAACAGCCGUACAUAUCAAGUUAAUGUGAUCAAAAGUAGGAGCCGGCUCUGUGAUCUCUGGGAAGGUCCUCAGACUUGAGCAACCACACAAAUCAAGGUUCCUCAACUUCAAAUUGAAAAUGGUGCUUGGAAAAGUUUGUAGUGAACUACAGUGGGUAAGGUCUAACUUGCAUAGUCUGGUGAGGCUUCCAAUGGAAGAUGGAAUAAUCUCAAGAUUGAAGCAACUGCACAAACUCAGUUGUUGAAGCCCUACCAAACGGCACAAGGAUGAAGGUAGUGCCUGUAUGGCUGUGUCGUCUAAGAUGAGCACCACUAGAUCUUCCAACGUGUCCUGAAUCUGGGGUAAAUUUUCCAAUUUUGAGCAACCACGGAGUGAAAGUUGCUUUAGGAACUUCAUAUCAGAAAGGUCAAAUGGAAAGAUUGUAAGGGAAGAACAGUGAGAGAGAUCUAAGUGACAGAGCCUCUUGAGAUUUUGAAAGUUUGAGGGUACACCUUCGAGUAUUGUCGACACUUCACAUUGUGAGUAUAUAGUAUUAUUACCCACUUCUUCUUCGUUAUAUCUGUCAAAACUAAUUGAGGAAAUUUCACUGGAAGUUGGGAAAAUACCUUUAGCAUUAUGGAAUUUAACAGUCCCUCCCAAAAGUAAACUUGAGAAAGUUGGACGUUGACCCUCCAGUUUCACAUGAAGGUAUCUGGGUUGACUGGUUGAAAACAUUUCAAGCUCCUCACAGUGAGAAAGAAUGAUCAAUCCUGGAGAUGUGGAUAAAAUCUUGUUGGGAAUAUUUACACUUUUGAGAUGAUAACAAUGAUCUAAACAUAAACAACUGAGCUUGCUGAGGAAUAUCGAAGAGUGAACUUUAAUCAACUUUUGACAAUAACUCAGAAUUAGUUCUUCAAUAUUCGGUGACAGAGAAAGGUCUGGUAUUCUAGUAAGUUUCAGAGAAUGACUCAGGUUGAGCCUUUUCAAGUUGGGUAAAUUCUGCCACAAAAAGUAAAUGAAUCAGGUAACAAUGAAAAACUAAAAUAAAGUUUUAUGCAAUUUUAUCUAUUUUUCUUCGGUAAACUAUGAGCUACAUCAUCUAUCGAGUUUAUAUUUUACAUAAAACCACUGUUAAAAAAAUCACACUGUUAACUAACAAAAUUAUGGUCACUAUAAAUUUUAUAGUUAUUAUAAAAAUUCACAAAAUUUAACGUGUUUUUGUUCUCUACCUAAAAUUACAUCCUAAUAAUUUGAACCUAAGCUUAUUAUGUAUUGAAAAACUUACUAUAGUAAUUUAUAAUCCAUGACAAUGUCGAAAUACUUUAUACUAUGCAUGUUAAAAUUUGAUAAAAUGUCGAAAUACUGACAAAAUAAAAAUGGUGUUUUCCGAGAGUUAAAAUUAAACUUUAGUUAAAAUAAGUCCAUCUUUACAUAUUUUAUAAUUUGUUGUAUAUUAUAUUGAAGUUGAUGUUAUAAUAAAAAAAUGACUUAAUUAAUCGAAAAAUGUGGAGAAAACACAAAGAAAUUGCAAAUGCUUGUAUAAUUUAUUUUUAUCUUUGAAAGUUUAAAAGACAAAGGAACAUAGAUAACUUGAAAAACCUGAUCUCCUUCCCAGAGUUGUUCAAGACGGCAGCCUGGCAUUUCGAGGAUCACUAGAUUUUGUGGGCAAAAGUUUGGAGGCCAAAAUCUUUGCGGGAAAUCUCUCCAAUAAAGAAACUUUAGAGUGUCUGGCAGACCUACGAGAGAUGAUUCAAGAGACACAUUUGAUAUGUAUUCAGUUGAGUAGAGUAAAAACGUCCAAAGAUCAUCCAACUCUUUACGAGACACAUCUGAUAUGUAUUUAGUUUUAUUUUGCUCGUAUCUAGUAAUAUACACUGUAUUGCAUCUGACCCCUGAAAGUAAAUCAAUGUAAUUAGAAGAAAAAAACAUGAAAUGUUGCAUUGCAGGAUGUUUGAUGACAGCUCAGUGGUUUGCAAUUUUUCACAAAGUAAAUUAAUGACAGGUCAGUAGUUAUAUACCUUAUUCUUUCUUAAAACCUCACAAAUUUCCUCAGCAUUAAACAAUCGGCUGCGUUUUCCAGGAUGCUGAGGACACUCUUUACGAACAAUUUCUUUACCCAUUUCUUCUAUUAGAUCGUGCAUCACAAUUCUACCAUCAAUGACAGAUAUUAGGCCCCUAUCUUUCAGAAUAUCCAUUCCAAUCUUAGAAGAGAAACCAAAGUCAUCAAGUCUUUCUGCUACCUCAAUCUCCUCGUGACCUCUAUAAAAGCAAGCUAUGUCAAGAAAUAUAUUCUUCUCCUCCUCCUCCAGCCCAUCAUAACUUAAUUUUAAUACAUUGAAAAUACCAAGAUGUUGGCCCUUUUUCAACUUUUGCAACUCACUCUCCCAUGCUUCUCUUGUUCUGCCAUAAAGCAAUGACCCCAAAAUCUGGAGAGCUAACGGAAUCCCUUUUGCAUAUCUCAACACCUUUUCUGACAGGUCCAUGUAAGAUUUUUCUGCUGAAGAUUUUUGUUUAAAAGCAUGUAAACUAAAAAGUUUAUGAGAAUCAUCAAAAUUCAACUCCUUAACCUCGUAGAUAUCAUCAGCUCCAGCAUUUCUAAGCACUUGUCUGUCUCUACUGGUCAUAAUGAUUCUACUGCCCUGCCCAAAACUACCACUCCCUCCUAUUAAUUUUUUAAGUAUAGCUGAAUCGGUAACAUCAUCAAGAAUGAGGAUAGCCUUUGUCCGUUUGAGCCUUUCAUUGUAAUAUGAUAAAUCAGGGGAUUUCUUUAUCUCUUCCUUUAGAAGCACAGACAGAUAUUUUCUUCUGAUACUGUCUAUUCCAUCUCUUUGUAUUUUUUCUUGAACGUCUAAAACAAGGCUGCUGGAAUCAAACUGCACUGCCAAUUUCUGAUAUAUUUGAUUACAAAUUGUAGUUUUUCCUAUUCCUCCCAUGCCACAAAUUCCUAUGAUCCGAACAUCCGUUGACUCAAGAUGCAACAAGGACUGAAUUCCUUCAAUAUUUUUUUCAAUGCCGAUGAUUCCUUGAUCAUAACUGGUGGAAUAACGAUUCAAUUUUCUCAAAAUAUCUUCCACAAUUUCUUCAACAAGUGCGUGUUCUGGCCUGGCAGAUGAUUUAGAAAAUAAAGUAUAAGUAUUCAAGCACAAAAGCUAAAGUAAACUAAAGAAAAAUUUUACAGUAACCGUUUGUGACUUCUGAUACUAGGGAGCAGACUUGUAGGUACAAAGUUAAACUAUAAGAUCAGAUAUGGUUCAGAUCCAUGACCGACUAAGAGAAAUGAAAAAAGAAACACUUGAUUUAUGGUGAGAUGAACACAAUUUUAGUAAAUGAAAAGAGAUCCUGAUUAUCUAACAAAUAUAAUGACCUGGUGACUUUUGAAUCCCAGCCUGCAAGUUUAGCAGCUUCAGUUAGAGCAUCCUUCCAUCCUUGCACUUUAUCGUGCUUAAGGUGCUGCUCAUGCUUUUCGAAUGCUUCAUUGUAUCUUUGUUCCUGCUUCCUAAUAGUUGAUGGAUCCACCUUGUAGAAAACAGGUAUGACAUCCCUUCCAAAUCUCUUCUUGCAUUCAAGUAUCUUAGUGAGUUCAUUCAAGCACCAAGUGGAAGAUGCAUAGUCUUGGGAGAAAACGAUGACAUAAAUCUUUGAUUCUUCUAUUGCAGAGAGGAGAGCAGGUGAAAUUUCUUCGCCCCUGUUUAAUCUGUAAUCAAUAUACGCUUCAAUGUUCUUCCUCUGCAGCGCUGCAUAAAGGUGACUAAUGAAGUUGUCACGUGUGUCUUCCCCUCUGAAGCUGAGAAACACAUCAUGCUUUGUUAGAGAAGUAGACACGGGGAAUGAUGAAGAACUUCCUGACAUUGGAAUCAAUUUUCUCUCCUUUCUCUGCAAAUCUCAGAUUCCUUUGUUUGUACCAUUUCUACCUGAAGAAGUGUUUAAAUUUUCUCAAAAUACCUUGCACAGCGUGUUCUGGUCAGACAUAAAGAAAAAGACAAAUAUUAAGUUAAUAGAAUAGUCAACAAUUUAAAAAAUAAGUAUGAAAUAUAGAUAUAUAUCAUUAUCACGUGUGGAAGCUACGUCGUCUUGUAUUGGAUUUUCUAAUCUGCCUUUUAUCUUGUCUCAUUCUUCUUUAUCUUUUUUCUCUCAUCUCUCUUGCUUACGAUUUCUUUGCCUUUAUUCAGAAAUUUUAUUUAUAAUAAACCUUCAAUAAUAUUUGUACUUUCUAGCAUAUAGAAUACUUAAUGGAUCCUUUUCUGAUUUUUCUUUUCUAAAGUGCAAUUGAUAUUUUAAAUGUUUUUCUAUUUAAUUUUCCUUUCUUAAUGACACAUAAAAUGGUUCAGUGCACAAUUAAUUACUCUCACCUUAGAUUUCAUUCAUCUCAUUCCAUUUCCACACUCAAAUCAUUCUCACAUUUGUUUCUACCUGUUUCACAAAGUUUUAGUUAAAAUAUGGAAAUUAAUGUUCAAGAACCCUACUUAAUAUUAAUAUUCAACAAUUUAAAAUAUUAAAAUGCAAAUUAAUCUUUCUUAAUAAUGUCAUUUUUAUGUAAAAAAUAAAAUGUAGUUUAGUCAUUUAUACUUAGAUGGAUAAAGAUGGUUUUAGAAAAAAAAAUGCAUUUUAUUUCAAAGGUUAUCUAAGCUCUGAACUCAUUUAUGAAUUAAUAAUAAUAAAUAAUAUGUAAUUGUAUUCCAAUACCAUAUAAUUUUUUUUAUUGGGUGCGUUUCUGAUGAAUUAAUUAAUGCACUCUAGGGACAAUGAUCGCUCUAGUAUUUGAUUUUUUUAUUUAUUUUAAUGUUGAAAUUAUAGCUAUUUAGUACAGAUACUAUUGACACCGACACAGAUACGACACAGACACAGAGAUACUUAAAAUCUCUAAAAUGUAAGAUACAGAGACAUUAAUCUAUAUAUUAUAUAAUUAUGAAUUAUAUAAAUUAACAAUAAAGACUUAUGUGCACAAGUAUUUUGGAGAUUAUUUUUUAAGCAGAAAUAUGUUUUUCAUGACUGUUUCACAAAGAUUUGUUUCUUAUUUUUAUAAUCAUAAUAACAAUUUAUACCAUAAAGUUUGAAUUUUAGAAAAUUAAUGUAUUUUUUCUUUUUAAAAUUCCGUUAGAAUCGUACUAAAAUUGUAAAAAAUCUAACAAAUACAUUUUGAAUUGGACAUUUCACAAAUACAUGUCCUACCAGUAUCAUACGAAUGUAAACAAAAUUCUUUCUUCAUAUGCCGCAUUCUUUUACUGUGAUAACUCAUUUCAACUCUCUCACAACUGAUUCGUAAUCUGUGGGAUGCAUUAAAGCCUUUUGCAGUUAAAUCAAUAGUAUAUGAUGAUGUGAAUGUUAUUUAUAUACUAAAUAUAAUCACAUAGUAACUUCAAAUUUGAUAAGGUACAACAUGUUACCAUAUCUCUUUUAAUUUCUUUUAUUUCAUUAUAUAUUUAGGUGUAUUUAAUUUCUUUUUAUUUCAUUGUGUAUUUAGGUGUAUUACGUAAAAUAUAUAAUUAAAAAGAAAGAAGAAUAAUGUUAUUUUUAAAUUUAAAGAAUGACAUAUAGAAAUAAACAAGCUAUUUUGAAAUUUUUAGAUUUUACAAAACAUUACAUUUUGAUUUUAAUAUUUAUAAAAUAUUUUUUAAUUUCAUAUUUAAAACACAACACUUAGUUGAGUGUGUUCCUUAGUUACUUACCAAAUAACAACAUACAUCUUAUCGGGUCUUUUUGCGACCCGACCCAAACUCAUCUCGAUCCUAGUAGGGUUCGCAUCAUCUUCAAUUGAGGAGUAGAUUUGUCAGGAGGAAAAUAAAUUGAUUUAUAAGAACAUGUGAAGUUGUUUAGAUUGAGGAAUAAUAGAUGGAUUUUGAUUAUGAUUUAUGGUAAGUUUAAAAAAAAUAGAUUUGUUUCUUUUAACAUUUUUUGUAUUAUAAUUAUUUGCUGGCUGAAUUGUUUUGAGUUAACAUGUUUUCUUGGGGUAUGAUAUUGUGAGGUUUUAUUACAUGCAGGUACGUGAAUAUUUUUUUUAUUCUAGUUGUAUAAAUCAGGAAAAAAUGUUUUUCACAAUAUAAUUAUAAUAACCGUUUAACAACCUAAAUAAUAAUAAAAUAUUAACUCAUAUUAUUUAAUUAAAUUAUUAAAUAAAAAGUAGUAAAACUGAUUGUAGGAUGGGAAUAUGAUUAUUUUUAACUGCUAGCUCCUCAUUAUUCUUUUAUAAUAAAAAACACACUAGUAGGUGUUGAAAAUCGUAAUAUAACAAACAAGUUUUGACACACGUAGGUUUGGCAAUUGUUUUAAUAGCUGAAAAUAGUAAAACAAUUUUUAAUUACCACAAACUGCAUCUUAAAUCAUAAAAAAUAGCAUUUUUUAGUUCAUAUAUAAUAACAUUUCCAUAAAUAAAUCUCCCGCCGCCAUUGAUAUUAAUCAUUAAUAAUUUUAGAUAAUAUUUUUUACUAUAAAACAUUUAAUUGAGAUUGAAUUUUUAAUUCACACUUUUUGGUCAAAGAAUAAUAUAUUUCAUUUUUUUAUUUAUUAAAUAUUUUGUAUAAUGCUGAGAAAAAAAAAUCUCACACACACACACACAUAUAUAUAUAUAUGAUCCCUAUGUCCUACAAGUACAAUAUAACAUCGUUAGUAUAAUGAAUAAAAAUAAUGAGUAUUCAAAGUCGUGUAUUUACGUAAAAGAAUAACAUGAUUUUUAAAAGAACUCACAUUAUCAGUUUAAAUUUUGACGAUAAAAUACAUUAAUUAUAUAUAUUUAUUCAAAAUUUCAAUUAUAUUAUGCAUUAAUGGUUUUAUGCUUUUAGAGGAAUCAGAGAAACUUAGAAAAGCUUAAUGAAACCCUAUGAAUAAAGGAGAUGUAAAAGAAAGAGAAAAAGGAAGUGAGAAAAGAUGAUAAUUAAUAAACACCCACUCUUCAUAACAUAGAGUCUUUAAACCUAUAUUCCCUCAAACAGCAUUUAUAAGUUAUUAUCACCCACAUGGAAUAAGGUGCCUCAAUGUGAACAAACCAAGAUCAGUAAGAAAUAUGAGGUUCAAAUAACGAAGCUGAGAAUUUUCUGGUUUUACAGCUCCAUGCACAAACCUAAUACAAUGAUAUGAUAUUCCAUAGGAUGGAGAAAAGUAUGAUAUGAAGAGGAUUUACCAAUUACCCUUUCGAAUGCAGCUCCUCAGGAUUCCAUCAUGCCUUCACUGCACAUGCAACCCAAAUAUGCUAAAGAAGUUAAUCAAACCCAAAUAUAAAGAAUUUCUAGAGAAUGCAACUCUGGGACAACAGAGUACCCCAUCUCAAGCUGAACAGAAACAUUAAACUAUAUCUAACAAUAACUUAGAAAUCUUUGUCAACAAUGAACGAAUCCAACCGUAAAAUGCCAUUGAAAAUGUAAAUAAAACAAAAUAAAUUAGAUAUGAGAAAUUCAUGAUAAAAUUUCAACACUUGUAAUGUAGAAGCAUUACGAUAAGCCAGUUUUGAUCCUCACCAAUGAAAGUCUAAUUAGCAGAAGAGGAAGAGACUAGUUGACUGGGUAGCUUUCUGCAAUGCCUAUUUUAAGGUUACGCUUCCGGCAAAAAUAUAAUAGAAGACUGCUCUCAUGUCAAAGUUUCUCAUACAUAGAACAACCCGCAAAAGAGAUUAAACAUUCCAAAAGAUGUCUCAACAGAAAUGAAAUGAGAUCCUAACAACUUGUUGGGAAAGUACUAUUUUGCCUUCAAUUCCAUUACUUCCUUUUGCCUUUAAGAGUGCAGUCAUAAUCAUCAAAAUACUUAGACUUUGUGAUAUGUCUUUUGGGCUUGCUAUUCAUCUUUUGUUGCCUCCUCUUGAGCCAUAACACUUUUGGCCUUCCUCUUCCUAUAUUCCCUUGUGUCUCUUGAAGACUGUGCAACAUUACUUCGACUGGAUUAUUCAAUGUGAACAGCACCACCAUAUUCAUCAUCUUUCUUUUUGGAAUAAAGAGGGCAUAUGCCGCAUUCUUUUACUCUGAUAUCGGGCCACCAAUGGCUGAUCUCAAAAGUGAAGCUGCGAGCAUCACAGAGCCUAAGGCUCAUGCCGCUUGCCCUUAGGGACUCCAAGUUAAAUUUCCACACAAAUGUGUGAUCUUUAUCAAGAAAUCUGCCUGCAUCCGUCAAGUUUAACACAUCAUUAUUUGGAAUGAUCUGUGUGCCAUCAUCAUCAGAUUCAAAUUUUAGGCUGUAACCAAAAGAACUAUAUCUACCUUUAAUAUCAUUCGUAUCUAACACUUCAAAAACCACGCACAAAGAGAAACCAGUGAGCCUAUUAUCGCUGCAAAAACUUAAAUCUUCAUUUAUAGUCACUGAAUGUCCCUUCCCACGAAAAUGGAACCAACCAGGAACUGCACUCCCUGGAUAACAGAAGAACACAGACCUAUAUGCAUCGUCGGUCAUCCUAAGCCUUGCAUCCUUCUCAAUGUUAGCACGACCACCUGAAUCCAGUUGUUGAGCAUUGGUGAAAUGAAAUUUGAAUACACCCUCUUUGGAAUUUGAGAGGUUCCGAACAAGAGAAUUUGACAUCACUUUUCUAAUGGAUGGGCAAUCCAAUGCCACGAGUUGUUUUAGAAAUGGUGGAAUCGGUGGGAUGCAUUCAAGCUUUUUGCAGUCGCUUAAAUCAAGCGAUUUCAAGCUCGAAAGAUGAGCAAUGCUCUCAGGAAGGUUCACGAUUCCGCUAUCACGCAGUGACAGUUCCAUUAAUGACGUCAAACGACCAAUGUGCCUUGGGAUUUCUGUUAAUUUGGCACACCCCGAACAAUCAAGUUUAGAGAGAAGCUUCAGAUUAACAAUGCAGUUUGGAAGUGACUCGAGAUCAGUGCAUUUGCGGAGCUCCAGGGAACGAAGAUUAACGAAAUUGGCAAAUGAGGAAGGCAGUUCUUUAACAGUCGUAGAUGUUAAGUUAAUGUGAGCAAAAGUAUGAGCCGACUCCGUGAUCUCUGGGAAGGUCCUCAGCCUUGAGCAACCACGCAAAUCAAGGUUCCUCAACUUCAAAUUGAAAAUGGUGCUUGGAAAAGUUUGAAGUGAAUUACAGUGGGCAAGGUCUAACUUGCAUAGUCUGGUGAGGCUUCCAAUGGAAGAUGGAAUAAUCUCAAGAUUGAAGCAACUGUGCAAACUCAGUUGUUGAAGCCCUACCAAACGGCACAAGGAUGAAGGUAGUGCCUGUAUGGCUGUGUCGUCUAAGAUGAGCACCGCUAGAUCUUCCAACGUGUCCUGAAUCUCGGGUAAAUUUUCCAGUUUUGAGCAACCACUGAGACAAAGUUGCUUUAGGAAUUUCAUAUCAGAAAGGUCAAACGGAAAGAUUGUAAGGGAAGAACAGUCAGAGAGAUCUAAGUAACAGAGGUUCUUGAGACUUUGAAAGUUUAAGGGCACACCUUCCAAGAGACUGUUGAACACCUCUGAGUCUUCUGAGUCUGUAGCAUUAUUAGCCACUUCUAUAUUAUAUCUGUCAAAAGUAAUUGACAAAAUUUCACUGCUUGGGGAAAUUUCACUGGAAGUUGGGAAAUUUAUCUCUUUCGUCAUAUCCAGUUCCUGACGCUCCAGUAUGACAUGAGGGAGAAAUUUAUCUUCAUGUUUACUGAUUGAAAACAUAUUAAGCUUCCGACAAUGGGAAAGAGUAAUCCAUCCUGGUGAUGUGGAUAAAAUGUUGCUCGGAAUAUUUACACUAUUCAGAUCAUCACAAUGAUCUAAACAUAAACAACUGAGUUUGCUGAGGAAUAUCGAAGAGUGAAUUUCAAUCAACUUUUUACAAUAACUCAGAAUUAUUUUUUCAAUAUUUGGUGACAUAGAAAGGUCUGGUAUUCUAGCAAGUUUCCAAGAACGUGUCAGGUCGAGCCUUUUCAAGUUGGGUAAAUUCUGCCACAAAAAGUAAAUGAAUCAGGUAACAAAUAAUAACUACUUUAUCUAUUUUUCUUCCUAUUUAAACUAUUAGCUACUACUAUUGAGUUUAUAUUUUACAUUACUUAAAAACCACUGUUAAAAAAGCCACACUGUGGACUAACAAAAUUAUAUUUUAAAAUAUUAUUAAAGAUAAAAUAUGAAGAUAGGGUAAUUAAAUUAAAUAUAAUUUUUAUUUUUCAGAAAUGAUGAAAAUUAUAAUUAAAUUAACUAAAUUAUAUAAAAUUCCAUUUUAUUUACAUAACUCCUUUUCAUAUUAAAAAACUAUAUAAGAUCUUGAAACUAUAAUUAAUAUCUUAAAAAUUUAAAUAAUAAUAAUUAUUUCUACUCAUCCUUAAUUUUUGUUGGUGAAAUCUUGAUUUUUGGGAUAAUAUCACUUAAACUUAAGAAAUAUUUGACAUUAAUGAACUCUAAACAAAUUUAUAUAAGAAAUCAAGACAUCACUUUCAAUCCGAAAUCUUAAACUAAUAGGUUUAUGGAUUUUCUUUAUAUGUUGUUCAUCUUACCAAUUUGAACCCAAUGCGAGACUUUCAACUCUAAGAGAUGAAGUGGUGUACUUUAUGCUUCUAGGACUUGUUAGAUAUUGAAACAUGUACCAUUGCUAAAAUGUUUGAAUGAAGGAGAAGUCAAAGUCUCUCUCCUUUAGAGAUAUUCGCUCAAGUGGCAAGAGGUUGAUUAAGCAAGAGAGAGAUCGUAUUAAUUCUCUCUUCUAUGCAAUUGUUGUCGUUCAAACAAUGUGGAAUCAUUCAAGCAAAGAAAUCUUCUUUUGGGUUAGGAAACAAGGUUUUUCAAGCGAGAUAAACUCGUCUAAAGAAUUUAACUCUAGUAGUGAAAUGUUGUUGCCAUGAUUUAGCCAAGUGUUUGUAUCUAUGAGGCUAAUGAUGAUGAUGACGAUGAUAAGAUGCAUGAAUGUGUAUACACAAGUGUAUGAUAUACCUCAUGUUAUAUAUUGUAUGUGAUUCAAUUGAUGACCAUUUAUUUUUAGGCCAUUUAUAUGUAUAUUUUGGCCCUUUUAUGAGUAUGUGACGAGAUAUACCUAAGAUUGUAUUAUGAUCCUAAUGAGUCGAAGUAUCAAACACAAAACUCAUUAUGGAAAAAAAAAGAUAUUUUGUGCAUCAGUUAUGAUAUGAUCACAACAAUUAAAGCAUGUGUGAACGGUUAAUAUUGUUCUUAAUAAGAAAACAAAUAAUAUUGUAUGUGACAUUAGAGAUGUCAAAUAGGUUUAGAAAAUUAUUAAGUUUAAUUAUCUUUUUAGUCUUUAUAUUAAUGACCAAAAGUCAAUUCAGAUUUUUAGAAAGUUCAAUAUGAUUUAAUUUUUUAAAAAACAAUUCAAUGUGAUUCCUUCUAGUAUAUUUCCCUUAUUAAAAUAUUUUUAUCUUAAUGAUUCUGCCACUGUUAAGUUAUAUGUGUUGUUAUCACAUUGAAUUGUUUUAAAAAAAUUUGGAACCACCACAUUAAAUUGUUUUAAAAAGUUAGUACUAAAUUGAACUUUUGAAAAUUGGGAGAAUGAAAUUAAAUUUUGUCUAUUAAUACAGGGACAAAAAAUAAUUGAAUCAAAUAUUUUACUAUUUUUGUGAUGUAUAUUUAUAUAUAAAUAAUUUUGAGAAUUUAGAGUUACAAUGUGUUAUAUCAUAUAUAUAUAAUUCUUUUUGGUAAUGUAUCCUGUAGUUGUAAGCAAGUAUGAUUAUAUUAAGUGGGGCGUUUCAAAUAGUGGAGACUACGCAUAUACAAAUAUCUCUUAUAAAGUAAGAAAACAAAACAAUCGUUACUCAAGAAGAUCAUGCAAUGCAUCACAGACAACAUGGGAGAUAUAUAUCAACAAUAAUAUGAGUAAAUAAUACAUUCAUGGGCCAUUAGACGAUAUGCCUAAAAAAAAUAUGCAAACUAUUAAAUUUAUAAUUAUUUUUAAUUAGAAACAUGCUGAGUAUGACUCUUAUGAUAUAUGUAUAACUGUGUGCUUCAAAUAAAAGAAAUUUCAAAUCGAAUAAUGUGGAGAAGGCACAAAGGAAUUGCAAAUGAAAACCUGUAGAUGUAUAAUACACAAAACAUGCUUGUCUAAUUUAUUUUUAUCUUUGAAAGUUUAGAACACAAAGGAACAUAGAUAACUUGAAAAACCUGAUCUCCUUCCCAGAGUUGUUCAAGAUCGCAGUAUGGCAUUUCGAGGAUCACUAGAUUUUGUGGGCAAAAGUUUGGAGGCCAGAAUCUUUGAAGGAAACCGUUCCAAUAAAGAAACUUUAGAGUGUCCGGCAGACCUACAAGAGAUGAUUCAAGAGACACUUUUGAAUUCAAUCUAGGCAUGUAGACCAUAAGCAUCAUAAGAUUGUCCAUCUUUUCGAAACUUUGUGCAUGUACUACAGCAUCUUUUACUUUGUUCGUAUGAUAUUGAUAUACACUGUAUUGCAUCUGACCCCUGAAAGUAAAUCAAUGUAAUUAGAAAAAAAAACAUGAAAUGUUGCAUUUCAGGAUGCUUAAUGACAGCUCAGUAGUUUUCUAUUUUUCACAAAGUAACAACAGCAUAUACCUUGUUCUUUCUUAAAACCUCACAAAUUUCCUCAUCAUUAAACAAUCGGCUGCGUUUUCCAGGAUGCUGAGGACACUCUUUACGAACAAUUUCUUUACCCAUUUCUUGUAUUAGAUCGUGCAUCACAAUUCUACCAUCAAAGACAGAGAUUAGACCCCUAUCUUUGAGAAUAUCCAUUCCAAUCUUAGAAGAGAAACCACAGUCAUCAAGUGUUUCUGCUACCACAGUCUCCUCUUGCCCUCUAUAAAAGCAAGCUAUGUCAAGAAAUAUAUUCUUCUCCUCCUCCUUGAGCCCAUAAUAACUUAAUUUUAAUACGUCGAAAGUUCCAAGAUCUUGGCCGUUUUCCAACUUUUGCAACUGACUCUCCCAUGCUUCUCUUGUUCUGCCAUAAAGCAAUGACCCCAAAAUCUGGAGAGCUAACGGAAUUCCUUUUGCAUAUCUCAACACCUUUACUGACAGGUCCAUGUAAGCAAUUCCUUCUGAAGAUUUUUGUUUAAAAGCAUGUAAACUAAAAAGUUUCAGAGAAUCAUAAAAAUUCAACUCCUUAACUUCGUAGAUAUCAUCAGCUCCAGCAUUCUUAAGCACUUGUCUGUCUCUACUGGUCAUAAUGAUUCUACUGCCCUGCCCAAAACUAUCACUCCCACCUAUUAAUUUUUGAAGUUGAGUUGAAUCGGUAACAUCAUCAAGAAUGAGGAGAACCUUUGUCCGUUUGAGCCUUUCAUUGUAAUAUGGUAAAUAAGAGGAUUUCUCUUCCUUUAGAAGCUCAGACUGAUAUUUUGUUCUGAUACCGUCUAUUCCAUCUCUUUGUAUUUUUUCUUGAACGUCUAAAACAAGGCUGCUGGAAUCAAACUGCAAUGCCAAUUUCUGAUAUAUUUGAUCACAAAUUGUAGUUUUUCCUAUUCCUCCCAUGCCACAAAUUCCUAUGAUCCGAACAUCCGUUGACUCAAGAUGCAACAAGGACUGAAUUCCUUCAAUAUUUUUUUCAAUGCCGAUGAUUCCUUGAUCAUAACUGGCGGAAUAACGAUUCAAUUUUCUCAAAAUAUCUUCCACAAUUUCUUCAACAAGUGCGUGUUCUGGCCUGGCAGAUGAUUUAGAAAAUAAAGUAUAAGUAUUCAAGCACAAAAGCUAAAGUAAACUAAAGAAAAAUUUUACAGUAACCGUUUGUGACUUCUGAUACUAGGGAGCAUACUUGUAGGUACAAAGUUAAGCUAUUGUGUGAUAUGGUUCAGAUCUAUGACCGACUAAUAGAAAUGAAAAAAGAAGCACUUGAUUUAUGGUGAGAUGAACACAAUUUUAGUAAAUGAAAAGAGAUCCUGAUUAUCUAAUAAAUAUAAUGACCUGGUGACUUUUGAAUCCCAGCCUGCAAGUCCAGCAGCUUCGGUGAGAGCAUCCUUCCAUCCUUGCACUGUGUCGUGCUUAAAGUGCUGCUCAUGCUCAUUGAAUGCUUCUUUGUAUCUUUCUUCCUGCUUCCUAAUAGUUGAUGGAUCCACCUUGUAGAAAACAGGUAUCACAUCCCUUCCAUAUCUCUUCUUGCAAUCAAGUAUCUUAGUGAGUUCAUCCAAGCACCAUGUGGAAGAUGCAUAGUUUUUGGAGAAAACGAUGACAUAAAUCUUUGAUUCUUCUAUUGCAGAGAGGAGUACAGGUGAAAUUUCUUGGCCCCUGAGUAAUCUGUAAUCAAUAUAUGCUUGAAUGUUCUUCCUUUGCAGCGCUGCAUAAAGGUGACUAAUGAAGUUGUCACGUGUGUCUUCCCCUCUGAAGCUGAGAAACACAUCAUGCUUUGUUAAAGAAGCAGACAUGGCCAAUGAUGAAGGGUUUCAAUGUUCUCUGCAACUCUCAGAUCCCUUUGUUUGUAAGCAACUUCCAUAUAUUCUAUUAGGAAGGAAAAUAUAUAUUUCUACCAUUCCUACCACAAAUUGAAAAAGCCUUUCAAUUUUCUCAAAAUAUCUUUCACAGCUGUGUUCUGUCAGAUACGAAACAUUGAGUCAAUGGAAGAGUCAACAAUUGGCAGAAUAUUAUGGUGUGUAGCUUUAUACCAUUCUUACAAUAUUUGAUUGGUUGAAUAUAUACAAUAUGACUAAUGAACUUUUUUCUUUUCCGUAUUCCACGAUAAUUCCCUAGGCACCCUAUUAUACACUUUCUUAUCAACGGAAACCAUGUCUGUCCUUUUAUAGUUUUAAUCCUAUAAUAUCUUUCCAUUAAUCAUCAUUAUCACUCUUCAACCUUCAUAUCAAGUGUAUUGAUUUCAUACUUCAUCAGCUAGACAUAAUAAAAUCUCAAUAAUCUUUUAUACUGUCAACAUUUAUAAAAAAUAUUUCCUUCAAUAAUAUUUGUACUUUCUAGCAUAUAGAAUACUUAAUGGAUUCUUCUGUGAUUUUUCUUUCCUAAAGUACAAUUGAUAUUUUAACAGAUGCCGAAAGGUCUUGAAUAUGAGGCUGUUUCGAAAUGAAAAUUGGGGUAAAGCAUUUUCAAGUUAACAAGUUUUGUUGGGUGAGUGAGUGAUCAGUGCUAGCAUUUUCAAUCUCAGUUAUAGAAUGUAAAGAUUUACACAUUUAUUUGCUGAUUAAUAAUUUAUUUAUUGAAUUAAAUGUUUUAACAGUGAGUAUGGAUUCUUGAAUGAAUGUAAUCAUGGUGUAGAAUGUACAUAGUACAUAUAGUGAGUUGGAUUGAAAUGUUGAACACGUUUUCCUCUGCAAAGAUUCAGGAUAUUUAUGAACUUGCUAUAAAUUGUUUUAACUUUUCUCUGCAACUCUCAGUCCCUUUGUUUCUACCAUUUUGUUUUUGAAAAGCCUUUCAAUUUUCUCAAAAUAUCUUUCACUGCUGUGUUCUGUCAGAUACGAAACAUUGAGUCAAUGGAAGAGUCAACAAUUCGUAGAAUAUUAUAUUAUGGUGUCAAUAUUUAAUAAAUUUAUUUAUUUCUUUAACAUAUUUUAGAAAAUAACCAGUAAACAUAAAACUUUUAGUAUGACUAAAAGAAUAAAGAUAGUGUAAGAAUAACAGGAAUAACAUUACUACAAAUAACAAUAUAUUAAUAUUAAUAUGUUUCUUAAUAAAUUUUACACCCACUGUCUAUUUAUAAAUUAAUAUAUUAUAAACAUCUAUUGAUUUUUUGUGGGUAGCUUAUUUCUGUAACAUUUUAAAUUAAUUUUUUAGAUUUUACAAAACAUUACAUUUUGAUUAUAAUAUUUAGGACUGUGAUGCAAUUUCUGCAAUGAAGGCUGGCAGACUAAGUUUCUCCAAGCCCAAUUAAUACUGGGUUGAAAAUUCUGAGAAGAGGGUGAGUAUGAUGCUGCGGUCAUGAUCUAUGUAUUAAAGUGUUAAGGCAUGGGUUUGGUUGACAGGACAAUACUGGUUUUUCAUUGCUACUACUUAAUAUGAUUCUUUCUUACUGCUAUAUGAAUUUGCUGUCAAAUAGCAGUAAAUAAAAGACUUCAAAUAAAGCAUGUGUUUAUCAUACAUGGACUAAUGCAGCAGUUUUAGUAGAAGGGGCUAAUAUGAUUUUAAUCUAGAACAAGAUGGCUAAACCCAAAGAUGGUGGGAAUAAUAUCCUCAAAUCAAUUGUUUUGGUUUUCAGUGUAAUGUCAUUUGUAAGUAUCAAAAUUUGUUUGUUAUCACAUUGGAAGGUAGUAUCUGUCAUGAAAUUUGUGGAAGACCUUUACCUAUGUUUGCUUUGGGUCUGUUUUACGCCCUCUCGAAUUAAGUAAAUUUUUAAUUGCCAUCAUGAAAUUAGGCUAAAUAUGUGUAGUUUUGAGCACUUUCUUUCUUCCAUUUCAAUUCAUAGUUUCAUACAUAUUCAAUAUCAUGUGGGAAUUAAGUUCUUGCUUUUAAGGUGAAUAACAGUUUGUAUUCUUGCAGAAAACUAUUUUCUAAUGCAUAUAAAUUUCAUUUUCUAUUUUCAGCAUUGGAUUAUGUUAUGUAAUUUUUCCUUUGUAUUAUACAGAGUAGGAUUUUAAUGUUUCUACUGAACAGUGCUAUCUUUUUUCGUCCAUAUUCUGAUUUUGUUCAAUUUUUUUCAGUAUGUGCCACAUGCAGAUCAGAUGUAAGGAAUUUUCUAAAUUUUUUUUCAAGCUUUCUUGUUUGCUUAAAGUUUUCUGUAAGUAUUUAACUGUCUUAAGUUGUUAAUGAGGACUAAGGACUGAAAAAGAGAAUUAGCCAUGACAUGGUGGCAUUAUCCUUCUUCAAAACCAUUAGUUUUUUUUCCUACAAAGAUACAUGUCAAGAAAGCAAACCAGGAACAAAAGUGAUGUUUAUGAUUGCUUUCUCUCUUGUUUACUUGCUUUCUUUUUGUUGGACAAUUGUCUUAAUUGCAUUCACACCUAACCUGCAGUAGUUUCAGUCCCUUUGGGGUUGUCAUAAUUGCAGCCUCAAGAGUGGUGGUGUAGUCCAACAUCAACCAGUGAUAUAGUUCAAAUAUAGCAUAUACAUGAAAGUCGUGUUGAUAAUCAAAGGUUGCUUCAUCUUAACUAAUAACAUGUAAAUGUCAUUUGAAUGGUUAAAAAGGAAUUCACCAGUGUAACACAAAAUGAAUGGAUUGCUUGGUUAUGUGUCAACUGUUGUACUUUUUUUGAGUUGCUUGAAAAUAAUUAAAAUUUGUUUUCAUCUAGAUCUUGGUUUUUUCCUAUGAUCAAAUCUCGAUUUAUUUCUGUGCAGAACUUUCUUGUGGACAUAAAAGGACCAGCUAUAGCAUUUUUACCGGUGCUUGCAUUUGAAGGAGGAACUAGAAGAAAUAUACCUAGGUUUGAGGUGUGUAUAAAUUAUUUUUGAUGUAUUUCGUGAUGUAGAUGUAAAAUAAUGCAAUACUUUGUUUUUAGUUUCAAUGUUACUCUUUAUCUGCAGGUUGGAAACAUAUCUUGAUGAAAUAUAGAAACAUUUUUAUUCAUAAUAUAUAUAUAAGGAUUACACAUUCAUAAUUAUUUCUUUCUGUCGUAGCAUUGUCUACCUCAAAUCACUGCAACUUUCUGUUGUUGGUAUAAAAAUACAAUAUUUUAAUCCCAGUUUUGAUAGCCUCUAUUCUUCAGUGGUUGAGAUAUUUUUUAUAAGAAUUUAGAAGUUCUGAGAUAUUUAUGAUAAGAAUUUCAAGUUCUUUGUUACUAGCAGUUUAAUGGUUAUAUCAUUUUUGUUCUCUGGAAAAUAUCUUAUACAAAAUCGGUACUUAGAUUUGGUAUUUAUAUUGUUCAUAUGUAGAAAUCUAAUACUAGCAAAUUUUGUCUAAUUUAAAAGCAAUUACAUUCUACUCUUUGGAAUAUGUUCUGGCCUGCUUUUAUGAAUUAUUUGAAAAUUUGUAAUUAUAAAAUUUAGUCUUUGAAAUUAUAAAUUUAAUAGAGAAGCAUCCAUACUAAACUUUUAUAUUAUAAAUUGUCAGUUUUAUAUUGAAAACAUAUCCCCUUUAGUAUAAGACUUAAAGGAGAUGUCUUUUGGUAUAAAAACUGAAAUAAAAAAUAUUUUAACUAUAUGGGUCAAAUGGAUGAUUAAACUUAUAAAAUGUACAAUUAAACUUAUAAAUUAUAAUAAACGAUACUUUAAUUUUAAACUAUAUUGAACUUUUAUUAAUGUUCUCGCUUUUCUUUAAAAGCUAUUGAACUCUAUCUAACAAUAACUUAAAAAUGAGAAAUUCAUGAUAAAAUUUCAACACUUGUAAUCUAGAAGUAUUACGAUAAGCCAGAAGAGGAAGAGACUAGUUGACUGGGUAGCUUUCGGCGUUCCUCUUCCUAUCUUCCCCUGUUUCUCCUGAAGAGUGUGCAACAUUGCUUCCACUGAAUUCUUCAAUGUCAUUUUCUGAUGCAGAAUAGUCAACAGCACCACCAUAUUUAUCAUCUUUCUUUUUCGUAUAAAGAGGGCAUAUGCCGCAUUCUUUUAUUCUGAUACCUGAUUUCAACUCUCUCUCAACUGAUUCGUAAUCUGGCCGAUUUGGCCGCAGAAAGGGAUCAUACGGACUGAUCUCAAAAGUGAAGCUGCGAGCAUCACACAGCCUAAGGCUCAUGCCGCUCGCCAUUAGGGACUCCAAGUUAAAUUUCCACACGAAUGUCCCUUCACCAUCCCAUUUGAAAUAGCUAUUUAACACACCCUUAUAUGGAAUGAUCUGUGUGCCAUCAUCAUAUUCAAAUUUUAGGCUGUAACGAAAAGAACCAUAUCCACCUUUAAUAUCUAACACUCCAAAAGCUACACACAAAGCGAAACCAGUGAGCCUAUCAUCGCUGCAGAAACUUAAAUCUUCAUUUAUAGUCACUGAAUGUCCCUUCCCACGAAAAUUGAACCAACCAGGAACUGCACUCCCUGGAAAACAGAACAACACACACCUAUAUGUAUCGUCGAUCAUCCUAAGCCUUGCAUCCUCCUCGAUGUUAGCACGAGCACCUGAAUCCAGUUGUUGAGCAUUGGUGAAAUGAUAUUUGAAGACACCCUCUUUGGAAUUUGACAAGUUUGGAACAAGAGAAUUUGACAUCACUCUUCUAAUGGAUGGGCAAUCCAAUGCCUCGAGUUGUUCUAGAAAUGGUGGAAUCGGUGGAAUGCAUUCAAGCUUUUUGCAGUCGCUUAAAUCAAGUGAUUUCAGGCUUGAAAGAUGAGCAAUGCUCUCAGGAAGGUUCACGAUUCCGCUAUCACGCAGUGACAGUUCCAUUAAUGACGUCAAGCGACCGAUGUGUCUUGGGAUUUCUGUUAAUUUGGCACACCCCGAACAAUCAAGUUUAGAGAGAAGCUUCAUAUUAACAAUGGAGUUUGGAAGUGACUCGAGAUAAGUGCACUCUUGGAGUUCCAGGGAUCGAAGAUUAACCAAAUUGCCAAAUGAGGAAGGCAGUUCUUUAACAGCCGUACAUGUCAAGUCAAUAUGAGCAAAAGUAUGAGCCGGCUUCAUGAUCUCUGGGAAGGUCCUCAGCCUUGAGCAACCACCCAAAUCAAGCUUCCUCAAUUUCAAAUUGAAAAUGGUGCUUGGAAAAGUUUGAAGUGAAUUACAGUAGGUAAGGUGUAACUUGCAUAGUCUGGUGAGGCUUCCAAUGGAAGAUGGAAUAAUCUCAAGAUUCAAGCAACUGUGCGAACUCAGUUGUUGAAGCCCUACCAAACGGCACAAGGAUGAAAACUUAUUUUAUUUUUGCUGUUCAUGCAUAACAUUAACAAAUAUUGACAUGAGAGAUUGUGUUUGUAGGCUUCUAAGCUCACCAACGUGUCCCGUUCUUGAUGCUUUAGGGAAGAAAAUUUCCUUUGAGAUUGCAAAAGGACUCAGGAGAAUUUAGAAGUUCUGAGAUAUUUAUGAUAAGAAUUCAAGUUCUUUGUUACUAGCAGUUUAAUGGUUAUAUCAUUUUUGUUCUCUGGAAAAUAUCUGAUACAAAAUUGGUACUUAGAUUUGGUAUUUAUAUUGUUCAUAUGUAGAAAUCUAAUACUAUAGCAAAUUUUAUCUAAUUUAGAAGCAAUUAUAUUCUACUCUUUGGAAUAUGUUCUGGCCUGCUUUUAUGAUUGUAAUUAUAAAUUUAAUAGAGGAGAUUACCAAACAUCCAUACUAAUUAAACUUUUAUAUUAUAAAUUUUUUCAGUUUUAUAUUGAAAACAUAUCCCUUUAGUAUAAGACUUAAAGGAGAUGUCUUUUGGUAUAAAAACUGAAAUAAAAAAUCUUUUAACUAUAUGGGUCAAAUGGAUGAUUAAACUUAUAAAUGUACAAUUAAACUUAUAAAUUGUAAUAAACGAUACUUUAAUUUUAAACUCUAUUGAACUUUUUUUAAUGUUCUCGCUUUUCUUUUAAAUGCAUUUCACUUGUGUGUUUUGUAUUCAGGCUGAUUUUAACUUUAUUCUCAAAUAUACAAAAUAAUUUUUGGUAAUUAUCUUGUGUCGAUCUUGACUUGUAGUAUCAAUGUGAAAUAUGUAAUAAUUACUUUUCUAUGAUUCAGAGGGAAAAUUAUUCCAACUAGACUUUUACAAAUAUAUUUCAAGUGGUAAUAUGAUUUUAAAAAAAAUAGGAUUCGCCACAAAAAAAAGUUACUGUUCCUAAUUGACAUGGUGCUGUCAAAAUUAUUUAAUUACAAUUUAGAUCUUCACUCUACAUAUAAUUAAUUAAUUACCAAUUAUUUAAAAGACUAGUAAAUUAUAAUUUUAAUCUCUCUACAACUUUCUAAAUUUAGUUAUGAUUCUCUCAAAAAAAUUUCCCUUAAAUAUUAAUUAUAAUUACCUUUAGACAGAAACAUUUCUAAUUUAAACAAGCAAAAAUAAGAAAAAAAAAUAGAUUACAAAAACUAAAUUUGAAUUUUUUUAUAUAACUCCAAAUAUAUUUUAUCCAUAAAUAAAUUCUAUUAAUAUUUCAUUUCUGUUUAAAUAGUUUAUUCAUAUUUGUAAUAUUAUUUUCAAAAAACAAUAAUUGUUUUUUGAAUAAAGGUUUACAAAUUCUAUAAUAAUGUAAAUGAGAAGAGGAGUGAGGGUAAAAAUAUGAGAACCUAUGUGAGGGAAUCUUGUGACAAUUUAGCUGGUGUUCAACUUGUGAGAAGUCUUUCAACUUGGUUUUCAAGUUUUAUAUUCAAUUUCUGUUCCUUCAAAUGUUUCUGAUUUUACAGCUCCUCAGGAUUUUACAGCUCCAUGCACAAACCUAAUACAAUGAUAUGAUAUUCAAUCAGCAUUAAUUAGCAUAAACAGGUACCUUGUUGUAAAACUGGGAAUAUGAGAUUCCAUAGGAUGGAGAAAAGUAUGAAGAGGAAUUACCAAUCACCAUUUACCAAUCAUAAUGCCUUCACUACAAAUGCAACCCAAAUAUGCUAAAGAAGUUAAUGAAACUAUAUAUGAAGAGUUUCAAGAAGAUGCAACUCUGGGACAACAGAGCAACCCAUCUCAUGCUGAACACAAACAUCAAACUACAUCUAACAAUAAUUCAGAAAUCUUAAUCAACAAUUGAGCGAACCCACUCCUAAAAUGCCAUUGAGAAUGUAAAUAAAUCAAAAUACAUUAAAAACGAGAAAUUCUUAAUAAAAAUUCAACGUGUUGAACCUUGUAAUUUAGAAGUAUUAACGAGAAGCCAGUUUAGAUCCUCACCAAUGAAAGACUAUUUUACAGGUUAGCUUCCACUGGAUUCUUCAAUGUGAACAGCACCACCAUAUUUAUCAUCUUUCUUUUUGGAAUAAAGAGGGCAUAUGCCGCAUUCUUUUAUUGUCACAACUGACCACCCAAAGUCAUAAAGAGGACUGAUCUCAAAAGUGAAGCUGCGAGCAUCACACAGCCUAGGGCUUAGGGAUUCUAAGUUAAAUUUCCAGACGAAUGUGUGAUCUUUAUCAACAAAACUGUAUUCACCAUUCCAUUUGAAAUGUCUGUUUAACCUAUCAUUAUUUGGAAUGAUAUGUGUGCCAUCAUCAUCAGAUUCAAAUUUUAGGCUGUAACCAAAAGAACCAUAUCUACCUUUAACAGAAUUCGUAUCUAACACUCCAAAAACCACACACAAAGCGAAACCAGUGAGCCUAUCAUCGCUGCAGAAACUUAAAUCUUCAUUUAUAGUCACUGAAUGUCCCUUCCCACGAAAAUGGAACCAACCAGGAACUGUACUCCCUGGAAAACAGAAGAACACAGACCUAUAUCUAUCAUCGGUCAUCCUAAGCCUUGCAUCCUCCUCAAUGUUAGCACGACCACCUGAAUCCAGUUGUUGAGCAUUGGUGAAACGAAAUUUGAAGACACCCUCUUUGGAAUUUGACAAGUUUUGAACAAGAGAAUUUGGCAUCACUCUUCUAAUGGAUGGGCAAUCCAAUGCCACGAGUUGUUUUAGAAAUGGUGGAAUCUGUGGGAUGCAUUCAAGCUUUUUGCAGUCGCUUAAAUCAAGCGAUUUCAAGCUUGAAAGAUGAGCAAUGCUCUCAGGAAGGUUCACGAUUCCGCUAUCACGCAGUGACAGUUUCACUAAUGACGUCAAGCGACCGAUGUGUCUUGGGAUUUUUGUUAAUUUGGCACACCCCGAACAAUCAAGUUUAGAGAGUAGCUUCAGACUAACAAUGGAGUUUGGAAGUGACUCGAGAUCAGUGCAUUUGCGGAGCUCCAGGGAUCGAAGAUUAACGAAAUUGGCAAAUGAGGAAGGCAGUACUUUAACAGCCGUAUAUGAUAAGUCAAUGCGAGCAAAAGUAGGAGCCCGCUCCGUGAUAUCUGGGAAGGUACUCAGGCUUGAGCAACCACACAAAUCAAGCUUGCUCAAUUUCAAAUUGAAAAUGCUGCUUGGAAAAGUCUGAAGUGAAUUACAGCGGGUGAGGUGUAACUUGCAUAGUCUGGUGAGGCUUCCAAUGGAAGAUGGAAUAAUCUGAAGAUUGAAGCAACUGCGCAAACUCAGUUCUUCAAGCCCUAUCAAACGGCACAAGGAUGAAGGUAGUGCCUGUAUGGCUGUGGCGUCUAAGAUGAGCACCGCUAGAUCUUCCAACGUGUCCUGAAUCUCGGGUAAAUUUUCCAAUUUUGAGCAACCACGGAGAGAAAGUUGAUUUAUGAAUUUCAUAUCAGAAAGGUCAAUUGGAAAGAUUGUAAGAGAAGAACAGUGAGAGAGAUCUAUGUGAGAGAGCUUCUUGCCACUAAAUUGUAAGGGCACACCUUCGUAGUCUUCUGAGUAUUCUGAGUCUGUAGCAUUAUUAGCAUUUAUCUCUUUCAUCAUAUCCGGUUCCUGACGCUCCAGUAUGACAUGAGGGAGAAAUUUAUCUUCAUGUUCACCCAAUGAAAACAUAUUAAGCUUCUCACAACCGGAAACACUAAUCCAUCCUGGUGAUGUGGAUAAAAUGUUGCUGGGAAUAUUUACACUUUUGAGAUUAGAACAAUGAUCUAAACAUAAACAACUGAGCUUGGUGAGGAAUAUCGAAGAGUGAACUUCAAUCAACUUUGAACAAUAACUCAGCUUUAUUUCUUCAAUAUUCGGUGACAGAGAAAGGUCUGGUAUUCUAGUAAGUUCCCAAGAUUUAACCAGGUCGAGCCUUUUCAAGUUGGGUAAAUUCUGCCAGAAAUAGUAAAUGAAUGAGGUAACAAAUAAAAACUACUUUAUCUAUUUUUCUUCCUAUUUAAACUAUUAGCUACUAUCUAUUGAGUUUAUAUUUUACAUUACUUAAAAACCACUGUUAAAAAAACCACACUGUGGACUAACAAAACUCUGCCUAUAAAUUUUAUAGUUAUUAUAAAAAAUCACAAAAUUUAACGUCUUUUUGUUCCCUACCUAAAAUUACAUCCUAAUCAUUUGAACCUAAACUUAUUAUGUAUUCAAAAACUUAUGAUAGUAAUUUAUAAUCGAUCACAAUGUCAAAAUACUUUAUAUUAUACAUGUAUCAACUCACAAAAUAAAUGGUGUUGUCUCAGAUUUAAAAUUAAACCUUAGUUAAAAAGUCCAUCUUUCCAUAAUUUAUUUUAUUAAAUACAUAAUUUGUAAUUUAUUGUAUAUUAUAUUCAAGUUUAUGUUAUGAUAAAAAAAGUAUCUAAGGCAUUUUUAAUUAAAUAAUAUAAAAUAAACAACAUGAACUCAAUUAAAUAAUAUAAAUUUUUUUGAAUACUCGAUGGAAUAAAAAAAUUAAUAAAACCCUCAAUUUGAAAAUAACCAAAUUUAUAAGAUACUUAAAACUUAAUUAAACCUACAAAUUUUCAUUAUAUGGAAUUAAAUAUUGUAAAGAUUUACCACAUAAGUUUCAUAAGUAGAAGGUUUAAACAUAAAAUUCUUCACGUUGGGAGUUUCUUUCCUCUAUCUUAUAAGUUUUCGUUGUUUCUUUAAUAUUUUUUAUAUGGCUUCUGUCAAUGUAAUUUUUUUUUUGGUUUUAAAAUAUUAUUAAAGAUAAAAUAUGAAGACAGGGUAAUUAAAUUAAAUAUAAUUUUUAUUUUUCAGAAAUGAUGAAAAUUAUAAUUAAAUUAACUAAAUUAUAUAAAAUUCCAUUUUAUUUACAUAACUCAUUUUCAUAUUAAAAAACUAUAUAAGAUCUUCCAAAGUAGAUAUAAUACAUUCACGGGCCAUUAGAUGAUAUGCCUAAAAAAAUAUGCAAACUAUUAAAUUUAUAAUUAUCUUUAAUUAGAAACAUGCUGAGUAUGACUCAAAUAAAAGAAAUUUCAAAUCGAAUAAUGUCGAGAAGGCACAAAGGAAUUGCAAAUGAAAACUUGUAUAUGUAUAAUACAGAAAACAUGCUUGUAUAAUUUAUUUUUAUCUUUGAAAGUUUAGAACACAAAGGAACAUAGAUAGCUUGAAAAACCUGAUCUCCUUCCCAGAGUUGUUCAAGAUGGCAGAAUGGCAUUUCGAGGGUCACUAGAUUUUGUGGGCAAAAGUUUGGAGGCCAAAAUCUUUGAGGGAAAUGUGUCCAAUAAAGAAUCUUUAGAGUGUCUGGCAUAUCCACAAGAGGUGAUUCAAAAGACACUUUUAAUUCCAAUCCCCACGUGUAGAGCCUAAGCACCCUAAGAUUGUUCAUCUUUUCGAAACUUUGUGCAUGUACUACAACUUCUUUUACUUUGAAAGUAGAUAGUGAUAUACACUCUAUUGAAGUAGAUAGUGAUAUACACUCUAUUGCAUCUGACCCCUGAAAGUAAAUCAUGAAAUGUUGCAUUGCAGGAUGUUUGAUGACAGCUCAGUGGUUUGCAAUUUUUCACAAAGUAAAUCCAUUCUCAAUUGAGUAACGACAUAAUACCUUGUUCUUUCUUAAAACCUCUCAAAUUUCCUCAGCAUUAAACAAUCGGCUGCGUUUUCCAGGAUGCUGAGGACACUCUUUACGAACAAUUUCUUUACCCAUUUCUUGUAUUAGAUCGUGCAUCACAAUUCUACCAUGAAAGACAGAUAUUAGGCCCCUAUCUUUGAGAAUAUCCAUUCCAAUCUUGGAAGAGAAACCACAGUCAGCAAGUAUUUCUGCUACCACAAUCUCUUGUGACCUAUAUAAAAGCAAGCUAUGUCAAGAAAUAUAUUCUUCUCCUCCUCCUCGAGCCCAUCAUAACUUAAUUUUAAUACAUUGAAAAUACCAAGAUGUUGGCCCUUUUCCAACUUUUGCAACUGACUCUCCCAUGCUUCUCUUGUUCUUCCAUAAAGCAAUGACCCCAAAAUCUGGAGAGCUAAUGGAAUCCCUUUUGCAUAUCUCAACACCUUUUCUGACAGUUCCCUGUAAGCAAUUUCUUCUGAAGAUUUUUGUUUAAAAGCAAGUAAACUAAAAAGUUUCUGAGAAUCAUCAAAAUUCAACUCCUUAACUUCGUAGAUAUCAUCAGCUCUAGCAUUCUUAAGCACUUGUUUGUCUCUACUGGUGAUAAUGAUUCUACUGCCCUGCCCAAAACUAUCACUCCCUCUUAUUAAUUUUUGAAGUUGAGCUGAAUCGGUAACAUCAGUUAGAAGUGGAACACGUUUGUAGAAGUGGAACACGUUAGUUGGUUAGUUGCCUUAAGAAGCGGAUCAUGUAUUUUUUCUUGAACGUCUAAAACAAGGCUGCUGGAAUCAAACUGCAAUUCCAAUUUGUGAUAUAUUUGAUCACAAAUUGUAGUUUUUCCUAUUCCUCCCAUGCCACAAAUGCCUAUGAUCCGAACAUCCGGUAAGUCAAGAUGCAACAAGGACUGAAUUCCUUCAAUAUUUUUUUCAAUGCCGAUGAUUCCUUGAUCAUAACUGAUGGAAUAACGAUUCAAUUUUCUCAAAAUAUCUCCCACAAUUCCUUCAACAAGUGUGUGUUCUGACCUGGCAGAUGAUUUAGAAAAUAAAGUAUAAGUAUUCAUGCACAAAAGCUAAAACAAAACUAAAGAAAAAUUCAGAGUCAAGAAGAGUGAACAUCAUUGAAUAGAUUCACAUAUUGAUUGUAGGACGUUAUCUUCGAAUAUUAGUGUGGUUGGUUUAGAAAUUGCAAAUCAAGAUCGCAGAAAUUCUACAGUAACCGGUAGUGACUUCUGAUACUAGGAAGCAGUCUUGUAGGUACAAAGUUAAGCUAUAAGAUGUGAUAUGGUUCAGAUCUAUGACCCACUACGAAAAAUGGAAAAAAGAAACACUUGAUUUAUGGUGAGAUGAACACAAUUUUAGUAAAUGAAAAGAGAUCCUGAUUAUCUAAUAAAUAUAAUGACCUGGUGACUUUUGAAUCCCAGCCUGAAAGUCCAGCAGCUUCGGUGAGAGCAUCCUUCCAUCCUUGCACUUUGUCGUGCUUAAAGUGCUGCUCAUGCUCAUCGAAUGCUUCUUUGUAUCUUUCUUCCUGCUUCCUAAUAGUUGACGGAUCCACCUUGUAGAAAACAGGUAUGACAUCCCUUCCAUAUCUCUUCUUGCAAUCAAGUAUCUUAGUGAGUUCAUUCAAGCACCAAGUGGAAGAUGCAUAGUUUUGGGAGAAAACGACGAUAUAAAUCUUCGAUUCUUCUAUUGCAGAGAGCAGUGCAGAUGAAAUUUCUUCGCCCCGGGGUAGUGUCUCAUCAAUAUAUGCUUCUAUGUUCUUCCUUUGCAGUGCUGGAUGAAGGUGGCUAAUGAAGUUGUCACGUGUGUCUUCCCCUCUGAAGCUGAGAAACACAUCAUGCUUUGUUAGAGAAGUGGACACGGGGAAUGAUGAAGAACUUCCUGUUUAAUUUCUUCGCCCCUGUUUAAUCUGUAAUCAAUAUAUGCUUCAAUGUUCUUCCUCUGCAGCGCUGCAUAAAGGUGACUAAUGAAGUUGUCACGUGUGUCUUCCCCUCUGAAGCUGAGAAACACAUCAUGCUUGGUUAGAGAAGCAGACAUGGCCAAUGAUGAAGGGUUUCAAUUUUCUCUGCAACUCUCAGAUCCCUUUGUUUGUAAGCAACUUGCAUAUAUUCUAUUUCUAUCACAAAUCAACUUUUGGAAAAGCCUUCAAUUCAAAAUAUGCUUCACAGCUUUAUAUUAACGUGCCUAGCUUUAUACCAUUCUUACGCAUUGGUAAAGAUUCUUCAAUAUCUUUACUCAAUUUGUUUCUUCAAUACCUUUUACACAUUCUUACGCAUUGGUAAAGAUUCUUCAAUAUCUUUACUCAAUUUGUUUCUUCAAUACCUUUUACAUAUAAAGAAUCGGAUUUGUUUAAUAUAUUUUAGAAAAUAACCAGUAAACAGAAAACUAGGUUAAUAUGACUAAAUGAAUAAAGAUAGUACUCAUAAAAAAUAUUUUAGAUUACAAGUGGUAUAACUAAAAUAAAAUAUUUUAUUUUUAAAAUAAAAUUUAUAAAUAAAUAAAAAAAUAUAAUUGUUUAGUUUUCGGUGUAAAACAAUAUUCAUUUUUAUAAAAAAAAAUCUUUUCUCUUUUAUUUUAUUUUUAUAUUUCUAAUUAGAGUAUUCUUGAGUUUGACAAUAGAAUCCUUUCUUUGGACUUUUGGAAUUAAAUAAAGAUGUUAAUUGAAAAAAAAAAUUGAAAUAGAAACUAAUUUAGAAACCAAAUUUCUUUUUAGUUUCUAAAAUGGUCUCUAAUUUAGUUACUAUUGCAACUAAUUGUUUUGGUUUCUAGAAAUUGGUUUCUAUUUCAUGAUUUUCUUGUAGUGUAUACUGAAGGUGUGCACCCCUAUGAAAUGUUUUUAUUUCUAGUUGAUGUGUGAUUUCCAAUAAUUAUAUAAAUUGAUUGUUAUAUGCAGUGUGAAGUUUAACCUUGAUUUUUACUUGAAAAAAUGGAUUUUAAUAUGAGGUAUGCAUGCUCUCAUACUCAAAUUCAAUAAGCGGAAUUUUCACAUGUCAAUAGAAUUUGAACCUGCAUAGUUUUGGGCACUCUCCACCUCAAAUUCGCUCAAUGUUUUUUCCUGCGUUUAAGCGAAAUUACAUGCAGAUUUUGGAGUACUUUCGGGCUUAAAAUUGCUCAAAGAAAUUUCCCUAUGGCAAGCAAAUUUAAGCUACAAUUGUUUGGGUGUUCUUUGCCUCAAAUUCGUUGCCUCAAAUUCGUUCAGCGAAGAUUUCUCUGGGCUUAAGCCCCAACUUCAUGGGCUCGAGCCAUUUUGACAACAUUUGUCAUCUUUGCUUAGAUAUCUUUUGGUUUGUUUUCUAUAGGUCAUGAAAUUGAAUUAAAUCUUUUGAAAUUUAACAUGUGUUUAAAAUAAGUAAAUCUAACAUUUAUAAUCAUGCAACAUGUGUUUAAUUUAUAAAAAAAAUAUAAAACAAAUACUCAUUAUAUAUUCAAUUGAUAUGUAAAAUUUUAAAUAUUAUGUGAUUAUUGUUGAUAUUUUGUAACGGUUUUAAAAAUAUAAACUUCUAUAUGAUUGAAUGAUAUAUUAUCGAUACAUAGUAAUUUCAAGUAAGGAAAUACUUUGUUAAGGAUAGUUAGGAUGUGUCUUGAUUAGUAAUACAUUUAGAAUAAGAUAUUUGACUCUAUUCACAUAUUAAGGUGGUGACAGUCAAAUGAGAUUUAUAUGAUUUGAUCUACAAUAUAAAAAAUCAUAAUCUAACAUGCCAUAUGAAUUAACCUUGUCAUAUUAGGUGAUUCUAUUAUGAUAUUCUUAUUCGCAUAGAUGUGUGAAUUUCACAAUGGGGUAUUAUAACAUGUGCAAAUUUUUUAGUCUAAAUCAAUGUACGAUUCUUUCAGAAAUAGGGUCAAGUGUACAUGUGGAUCUAAUUAGAUUUUUGACAUGAGUAAUAUGGAACACAAGUCAUUUAGAGACACUUAAUUGUUUAAUAUAUUAGGAAUGAAUGAAGUGUGAUUAUUCAUAUGAUUAUGAUUGAAUGAUUCAAAUAUAAAUUUUAAAAAUCAUUAACUUAGCCUAAUUUCUUGUUAGUAUCAUUUUUUUGUUAGUAUCGUUUUUUUUUUAGAUUUGUUAUGAUCGUGAGUUACAUGUGAACAUAUGAUGUUGUAUGUUAUAGGCCUCAAAAUUGAAAAUGAGAGAGUUUUUUCUUUUAAUUCUUUUGAUGUUUUAUUUUGAUGUAUAUAUUUGAUUAUGAUAUAAUAAUAUUACAAUGUAAAUGUUAUUUAUAUACUAUCACAUGGUAAAUUAAAAUUUAAUAAGGUAGUUAAGGAUGUUAUAAUUAUUCUUUUAAUUUAUUUUAUUUCACUGUAUAUUUAGGUGUAUUACGUAAAAUGUAUAGUUAAAAAAAAUAAUGUUAUUUUGAAAUUUAAGCUUUUGUUAAAAUUAUACCAUUUGAAAAGGAACACAGAACAAUCUUGACAAUUAUACUGACUUAGUACUUAUUUUAAUUUAUUAUAUUCAUGAGUAUUAUUUUUUUCUUAAACAUAAAUAUUGGAUAAAAAAUAUAAAUAACAUUUAUUUAUUUCAAAUUUAAAAAUCUUUAAAAUAAAUAUAAAUAAUAUUUUUAAUCAAGAUGUGUUUUUUAACAAUUUUUUUUAAUUUAAAAAUAAUUAAUUCGGACGAUGAUUAAAGAAAUAUUAACAAAUUAUUUCUGCGAUUAUAAUAAACCUUCAAUAAUUUUUGCACUUUCUAGCAUAUAGAAUAUGGAUCCUUUUGUGAUUUUUCUUUUCUAAAGUACAAUUGAUAUUUUAAAUGUUUUUCUAUUUAAUUUUCCUUUCUUAAUGCACAUAAAAAUUUCAGUGCACAAUUAUUACUCACCUUAAUUCAAAAUGGAAAUUAAAAUUCAAGAACCCUACUUAUAUAUUAAUAUUCAACGAUUUAAAAUAUUAGUAUGCAAAUUAAUCUUUCUUAAUAAUAUUUGUAACAAUUUUUAAUAAUUCAAUGUGAAAUAUGUAAUAAUUACUUUUCUAUGAUUCAGAGGGAAAAUUAUUCCAACUAGACUUUUACAAAUAUAUUUCAAGUGGUAAUAUGAUUUUAAACAAAAAUAGUAUUCUCCACAAAAAUAAAUAGUUACUGUUCCUAAUUAAACAAGUCACAUUCUUGAACAAAAUAUCAAAUAACAAGGAAUUAGACUAUGAAAUGAUGACCAAUUAUAUUAAACAACAUAACAUACAUUUCUCAAUGUACACAAGGUAUAAAUAAUACAAUAUCAUCCAAAACCUGUGUUCACUAUGUAAAUAAACCAUUUUUUUUGCCAUUACCUCUUUCAUGAUGAUGAUUUGUUUACUAGGGAUUGCAAUGAUAGGUCAUGAUCAAAACUUAGGCCUAAGACUAAAAAUAGAAUGAAAUGAGCAUGAAAAUAAAGAUAACUUUUGAGUGAGACACAUUCUUCCUUACAAGCAGCAAGUUCUUCCAGGUUAUCUUCUCUUCCUUCAACCGUAGCUGUGCAACCGCCUGUUGUUCAUUGCCACCAAUAUCUCUAGUGCCAAAACUAUGUUUUCCAAAAUUAGAGUUAUAUGGCUUUAUCUGUGAAGUCUUACCAGCCAUAAUGUUUUAUUUUACUGUUUUGUUGUAAUCAUGCCAAUAGAUAAAUCGUGGAUUUGUAAACCACGAAACACCAUUGAGUAUGCAAAUGGGUUGAAUGUGUUUUUGGAUAUUGCAUUUCAACAUGCUAAUGGUCCUGUAAUUAAGUGUCCAUGUGCAAAGUGUGGUUUCAAAAAGUGACAAACAAGGGAUGUAAUCCAAGAACACUUAACAUUUACAACUUUCCCUCAGAACUACAAAACUUGGUAUUUGCACGGUGAAAGACCAAGUGUAAUUGAGCCUAUGGUCACUACAAGUGUGCAUGUCAUUGAAGAUUUAUUUGAAUCUCAAAAUACAAUGGAAGACAUGUUGAAUGAUGCAUUCGAGUUUGCGGGACAUGAUGAGGAUACUGAAGUUGAUGGUUUGCAAACUAAUAUGGUGGGUGAUGAAGGAAUAUGAACUUUGAUGAAUUGAUGAGGGACAAUAAUGAACCCUUAUAUGAAGGUUGUACAAAGCAUUCGAAGUUAUCAUUCAUGUUGAAGUUGUACCAUAUCAAAUGCAUGAGUAGAAUGAGUGACAAAGCAAUGACCAUGAUUCUAGACUUGCUAAUGAACACAUUUGAACAUGCUAAGUUUCCUAACUUGUUUUAUGAGGCGAAGACUGUGAUUACCAAACUUGGACUUAAUUAUGUCAAAAUACCAGCUUGCCCAAAAGACUGAAUGCUAUAUUGGGGCGAAGACAAUGAAGGCUUAGAAGAAUGUAAACGGUUCAAAACGUCUAAGUGCAAAAAAAAAAAAAGAUAAGAAGCAAUUGCAUUACUUUCCAUUAAAACUGUGAUUGCAAAGAUUGUUUAUGAGUUCUAAGAUGAUUGAGUCUAUGACAAGGCAUGCAUCAAAGGAUAAUCAAGAUGGAUUGAUGAGGCAUCCUAGAGAUUCUGAGGCUUGCAAAUCAUUUUAUUGCAUCCAGAAUUUGUAAAUGACCAUUGAAAUGUACGAUUAGACUUAGCUGCUUAUGGCUUUAAUCCUUAUGAAAACAUGAGUAAAAACCAUAGUAUAUGACGAGUGGUUAUCAUCCCAACAAUCACCCUCCUUGGGAGUUAUGAAGCAAACAUCUUUUAUCCUCUACAUGAUAAUUUCUGGAAAACAAAUGGUAGAAAAUGACAUUGAUGUUUAUUUAAAACCACUUAUAAGCAAAUUGAAGGAGUUAAUAGUAUGAUCAUGUAAUUAUUAUUUAUAUACUAAAUAUUACGACAUAUAGUAAUUUAAAAUUUGAUAAGGUAGAUGAGGAUAUUAAAAUAUCUCUUUUAAUUUAUUUUAUUUUAUUGUAUAUUUAGGUGUAUUAUGUAAAAUAUAUAAUUAAAAAAAAUAAUGUUAUUUUAAAAUUUAAAGAAUCACGUAUAGAAAGAAACAUAUAACAAUCUUGACAAUUAUAUUCUGACUUAGAGAUACUUAUCUUAAUUUAUUAUAUUCAUGAGUAUUAUUUUUUUCUUAAACAUAGAUAUUGGAUAAAAAAUAUUAAUAAUAUUUAUUAUUUAAAUUUUAGAAAUAUUUAAAAUUAAAAUUAAAAUUAAAUAAUAUUUUUAAUUAAAAUAUGAAAAAAAUUCCUUAACAAUUUUUUUAAUUUCAAAAUAAUUAAUUCAGAGGAUGAUUGAAAAAAUAUUAACAAAUCAUUUCUGCGUUUAUAAUAAACCUUCAAUAAUAUUUGUACUUUCUAUCAUAUAGAAUACUUAAUGGAUCCUUUUGUGAUUUUUCUUUUCUAAAGUACAGUUGAUAUUUUAAAUGUUUUUCUAUUUAAUUUUCAUUUCUCAAUGACAAAUAAAAUGGUUCAGUGCACAAUUAAUUAUUCUCACCUUAGAUUUCAUUCAUCUCAUUCCAUUUCCACACUCAAAUCAUUCUCACAUUUUUUUCUACCUAUUUCACAAAGUUUUUGUUAAAAUAUGGAAAUUAAAGUUCAAGAACCCUACUUAUAUUUCAUAUUCAACAAUUUAAAAUAUUAAUAUGCAAAUUAAUAUUUCUUAAUAAUGUUAUUUUUAUGUAAAAAUUAAAAUGUAGUUUAGUCAUUCAUACUUAGAUGGAUAAAAAUGGUUUUAGAAAGAAAAAAAUAUGCAUUUUUUUGAAAGGUUAUCUAAACUCUAAACUCAUUGAUGAAUUAAUAAUAAUAAAUAAUAUGGAAUUCUAUACGAAUAGCAUAUAAAUGUUUUCUUGUUGAAACUGAUAAUUAAUUCAGUCUAGGGACAAUUAUCGCGGUAUUUGUUCUUUUAUUUUUAAUGUUUAAACAAUUAUAAAAUUCUGUUUUUAGAUAUUAAAAUGAUAGUUUUCAUUUACAGAUUAAAAUAUUACUUGUUUCUUUUAAGAUUUUUUGUAUUAUAAUUAUUUGUUGUCUGAAUUGUUUUGAUUUAACAUGUUGUUUUCUUGGGCUAUGAUAUUGUGAGGUUUUAUUACAUGCAGGUACGUGAAUAUUUUUUUUAUCCUAGUUGUAUAAAUCAGGAAAAUUGUUUUUCACAUUAUAAUAACCGUUUAACAACUCUAAAUAAUAAUAAAAUAUUAACUCAUAUUGUUUAAUUAAAGUAUAAAUUAAAUUAUUAAAUAAAAAAGUAGUAAAACUGGUUGCAGGAUGGGAAUAUGAUUAUUUUUAACUGCUAGCUCCUGAUUAUUCUUUUCUAAUAAAAAAAACACCAAUAGCAACAAAACAAGUUUUGACACACGUAGGUUUGGCAAUUGUUUUAAUAGCUGAAAAUAGUACAACAAUUUUUAAUUACCACAAACUGCAUCUUAAAUCAUAAAAAAUUAGCAUUUUGUUAGUUCAUAUAUAAUAAAAUUUCCAUAAAACAGCCAAUUGUAUUAAUUAUUAAUAAUGUAUUUACAAUUUUUUUAGAUAAUUUUUUUACUAUAAAGACAUUUAUUUGAGAUUGAAAUUGUAAUUAACACUUUUUGGUCAAAGAAUAAUAUAUUUCACUUGAUUUUUUGUAUUAAAUAUUUUGUAUAGCGCUGAGACAAAAAAAAAUCUCAUAUAAAUCCCUAUGUGCUACAAGUACAAUAUAACAUCCUUAAUGUAAGCAAUAAAAAUGAUGAAUACUCAAAGUCGUGUAAUUACGCAAAAGAAUCAAGUGAUUUUUAAAAGAACUCACAUGAUCAGUUUAAAUUUUGACGAUAAAAUACAUUAAUUAUAUAUAUUUAUUCAAAAUUUCAAUUAUAUUAUGCAUUAAUGGUUUUAUGCUUUUAGAGGAAUCAGAGAAACUUAGAAAAGCUCCUAAAAACUAAUGUAACCCUAUGAAUAGAAGAGAGCUAAAAGAAAGAGAAAAUGGAAGUGAGAAAAGAUGAUAAUUAAUAAACACGCUCUCUUCAUAACAUAGAGUCUUUAAACCUAUAUUCCCUCAAACAAUUAUAAAGAAUUAACAAUCACACUUUUAUAAGUCAUCACCCACAUGAAACAAAACAAGGUGCCUCAAUAUGAAUAAACCAAGAUUAAUAAGAAAUAUGAGGUUUCACUAACCAAGCUCAGAAUUUUCUGCUUUUAUAGCUCCAUGCACAAACCUAAUACAAUGAUAUGAUAUUCACUGCAAAUGCAACCCAAAUAUGCUAAAGAAGUUAAUGAAACCCAAAUAUAAAGAAUUUGAAGAGAAUGCAACUCUGGGACAACAGAGCACACCAUCUCAUGCUGAACAGAAACAUCAAACUAUAUCUAACAAUAACUAUACCUAUGUUUGCUUUGGGUCUGUUUUUAGUUUCAAUGUUACUCUUUAUCUGCAGGUUGGGAACAUAUCUUGAUGAAAUAUAGAAACAUUUUUAUUCAUAAUAUAUAUAAGGAUUACACAUUCAUAAUUAUUUCUUUCUGUCGUAGCAUUGUCUACCUCAAAUCACUGCAACUUUCUGUUGUUGGUAUUUGCAUAUCACGAUGGUUAUUGAGAAAUUUAGGAGUUUGCUGUUGUGUACCAGAAGUAAAAUAGAAGGUUCAUUUUUUGGUCAUCAUCAAUUAUUAAUGUAAAUAGAUAUAGGUGAAGGAGAUCAGUAUUAUGCAUUGUAUCAUGGACCAUUAGAAGACUAGGGUCACCAAUUGGAGGCAUUGGUAACUUUGGCUAGUAAAACUAAAACCAAAGUCCAUUUUUACAAAGCCUUGGUCUAAUUCACCUUAUAGCUGUACUUUUUCCUCCAUUUUAAUAAUAUUAAGUUUUCAUUUUCUAUGCAUAAUCUUGGGUAAUUUUCUUUUUAUAUCAAUGCUUGAAGUGUCAAAUUGUUACAAGCUGGAUUAUUAAGAAAGAAAAGAGUGCAUUCUGGAUGCUCGAAAGGGAGUGUUUCCUAGAAAAAAAAUGUGAUUUCAGGGUGUCCAGGCUCAGGUAGCAAUGGUAGGAGUUCCACAUUGAAAUGGAUGAACUACUUGAUUUAGUACUUUGGGACUCUCUCACCUAAUGGACUAGUAUUUUGGGUUAGCUUCUCUCCCCUUAAUGCUUAAGUCCUAAAAAACAGUUUUUCUGUUUCUAUUUAUCUUUUAGGGUGUGAUUAGGACCAUGAAGCAGUGGGUGUUUUUUCCAUUAAUGAACUUUGCCACUGCCACAGAUCACCUAGGUUAACCUAAUUAAGUCUUCUGAAUUGUAUUUUGUAAUUAAUUCUUGUAAAACAUGGAGUGUAAAAUUCAUGUACAUUUUUCUUUUCCUCUUUUGAUUUGGAUGUCAAACUAGCAACUUCAUGUUUUGUCUGGUUGGUCUAUCACAUUUAUGUAGGUUGUAAUCUAUUUUGCCUAAUGCAUCAGUUGCAGAUAGGUACUAAAUUAUCUUAGUUCGGAUACACCUUGCCAAUUAGAUUAAGAUCAAGAAUUUAAAGUGAAUGGUUCACUUCUGAGUUCUUAAAUGAGAUAAAAUGUUCAGAGAUACUAAAUCAUCGCCUUCAUUUGAAAAUUGGCGUGCCUAUUAUGCUUUUGAGAAAUAUUGAUCAAACCAACGGUCUUUGUAAUGGAACAAGGUUGCAAGUUAUUGAUUUGAAGAAAAUGUUAUUUGUGCAAUAGUUCUAACAGGAACAAAUAUUGGUGAUAAAAUCUUCAUUUCAAGAAUGAAUUUGAUCCCUUUAGAUGUAGGUAUGCCAUUCAAAUUCCAGAGAAGACAAUUUCCAAUAGCUUUAUGUUUUGCAAUGACAAUUAAGAAAAGCCAAGGUCAAUUAUUGACCAAAGUUGGUUUAUAUUUUUCACAUCCAAUUUUCACACAUCGAUAGUUGUAUGUAGCUAUUUAUAGAGUUCGAAAGAAAAAAGAUUUAAAAAUUCUAACUCUUGAUGAAGAUGGAAUGCAACAAACAAGAAAAAGAAAAUGUUUACACUGAAAUUUUUGACAAUAUUUGAAAACAAUAGAAUUAUAUGAUAAACUUGGAAUGGCUAAUUCUCCCUGCAACCAAUAUUUUUGAACCUGCAACUUUUAAAUUUUUGAAAAUGCUCUUUAUUCCAGAAAUGAAAAUAAUACAUUACAAAAAAAAUAGAUCCAAAAAAGAUUAUUGUGUUUUGGUAAUAAAAAUCGGAAAACAAAAAUCAAAAGCCCAUUAUGAAUAAGAAAAUUCGUAAUACAAAAAAUUUGGUCUUAAAAACAAAAUCUGAAAACAUAUUCCAGAAAGAAAAUCCGAAAUGUAUUUUUAUAUAUAACCCAUUUUUUCAAGGGAGUUUCGUCUUUUCUAUUGUAAAAGGGGUUGGAAUUUGCUCCCUUGGAAUUAUAGUUUCUUAUGUGUGAUGUAGUAACAGUUGCCUUAUUUAAAAUGUUACUAAAUAACAUAUAAUUUAUAUCUGUUAUUUUUAUUCUGUUAUGACUUUAUAUAUUUGUCACAACAUGAAUGAGGCACAAACCCAUCUCAUGUUAACGAAGUUGAGAAUUUUCUGAUUUUACAGGUCCAUGCAAAAAUCUAAUAUAAUGAUAUGAUAUUCAAUAUCAAGAGGUACUUGUCGUAAAACGGGGAAUAUGAGAGACUCCAUAGAAUGAAGAAAAAGUAUAAAGAGGAUUUACAAAUUAACCUUUCAAAUGCAGCUCCUCAGAAUUUCAUAAUGCCUUCACUGCAAAUGCAACCCAAAUAUGCUAAAGAAGUUAAUCAAACAAUACAUGAGGAGUUUCAAGAAAAUGCAACUCUGGAACAACAGAGCAACCCAUCUCAUGCUGAACAGAAACAUCAAACUAUAUCUAACUUAGAAAUCUUUGUCAACAAUUGAACGAACCCACUCCUUAAAUACCAUUGAAAAUGUAAAUAAAACAAAAUAAAUUAAAAACGAGAAAUUCAUAAUAAAAAUUAAACGUGUUGAACCCUGUAAUUUAGAAGUAUUAACGAUAAGGCAGUUUAGAUCCUCACCAAUGAAAGAGACUAGCUGACUAGGUAGCUUUCGGCCUUCCUCUUCCUAUCUUCCCUUGUUUCUCUUGAAGACUCUGCAAUAUUGCUUCCAUUGGAUUGUUCAAAGUCAACAGCACCACCAUAUUUAUCAUCUUUCUUUUUCGUAUAAAGAGGGCAUAUGCCGCAUUCCUUUAUUGUGAUACCUGAUUUCAACCGAAAGUGAUAAUCACACGGACUGAUAAGUGAAGCUGCGAGCAUCACAGAUUCUAAGGCUCAUGCCGCUCGCCCUUAGGAACUCCAAGUUAAAUUUCCACACGAAUGUGUGAUCUUGAUCAACACAUCUCUCUUCACCAUUCGAAAUAGCUGUUUAACACAUCUAUCAUCGCUGCAGAAACUUAAAUCUUCAUUUAUAGUCACUGAAUGUCCCUUCCCACGAAAAUGGAACCAACCAGGAACUGCAGUCCCUGGAAAACAGAAGAACACAGACCUAUAUCUAUCGUCGGUCAUCCUAAGCCUUGCAUCCUCCUCAAUGUUAGCACGACCACCUGAAUCCAGUUGCUGAGCAUUGGUGAAAUGAAAUUUGAAUACACCCUCUUUGGAAUUUGAGAGGUUUCGAACAAGAGAAUUUGGCAUCACUCUUCUAAUGGAUGGGCAAUCCAAUGCCACGAGUUGCUUUAGAAAUGGUGGAAUCUGUGGGAUGCAUUCAAGCUUUUUGCAGUCGCUUAAAUCAAGCGAUUUCAAGCUUGAAAGAUGAGCAAUGCUCUCAGGAAGGUUCACGAUUCCGCUAUCACGCAGUGAUAGUUCCAUUAAUAACGUCAAACGACCAAUGUGUCUUGGGAUUUCUGUUAAUUUGGAGCACCCCGAACAAUUUAGAGAGAAGCUUCAGAUUAACAAUGGAGUUUGAAAGUGACUCGAUAUCAGUGUAUUUCUGAAGCUCCAAGGAUCGAAGAUUAACGAAAUUGCAAAAUGAGGAAGGCAACUGCGCAAACUCAGUUGUUGAAGCCCUACCAAACGGCACAAGGAUGAAGGUAGUGCCUGUAUGGCUGUGGCGUCUAAGAUGAGCACCGCUAGAUCUUCCAACGUGUCCUGAAUCUGGGGUAAAUUUUCCAAUUUUGAGCAACCACGGAGAGAAAGUUGCUUUAGGAAUUUCAUAUCAGAAAGGUCAAAUGGAAAGAUUGUAAGGGAAGAACAGUAAGAGAGAUCUAAAUGACAGAGCUUCUUGCAACUAAAGUGUAAGGGCACACCUUUCAUGAAUUUUGUCAACACUUCUAAGUAUAUAGUAUUAUUAGCCACUUCUUCUUCUUCAUUAUAUCUGUCAAAAGUAAUUGAGGAAGUUGGGAAAAUAUGACCACUGUAUGCACGAGGUUCACCACGCCGUCCUGCACCAUGCCGUUCUGAGAAAUUUAUCUCUUUGAUCAUAUCCGGUUUCUGGCGAUGGAAUCUUGAGAAAGUUUGACGUUGACGCUCCACGCUCCAGUAUCACAUGAGGGAAUCUUGAGAAAUUUCCACGUUGAUGCCCCAGUUUCUGAUGUGGGUAUCUUGUGACGCUCCAGUUUCACAUGACGAAAUCUGGGUUCACUGGUUGAAAACAUAUUAAGCUUCCCACAACAGGAAAUAUUAAUCCAUCCUUGUAAUGUGGAUAAAAUGUUGCUGGGAAUAUUUAUACUAUUCAGAUCAUAACAAUUAUCUAAACAUAAAUAACUGAGCUUGCUGAGUAAUAUCGAAGAGUGAACUUUAAUCAACUUUCCACAAUAACUCAGAAUUAUUUCUUCAAUAUUUGGUAAGAGAGAAAAGUCUGGUAUUCUAGUAAGUUUCCGAGAACCACUCAGGUCAAGCCUUUUCAAGUUUGGUAAAUUCUGCCACAAAUAGUAAAUGAAUCAGGUAACAAAUAAAAACCACUGUUAAAAAAAUCACACUCUGAACUAACAAAACUGUGGCUAUUCACUAUCAACAAUCCCUCUCAAAUACACUUCUACUAAUACAUUAACAACAAUAUCAUUAUAUUAACCAUAAAAUAUUACAUUUCUUCAGUUAAUACGUAGGACAAUAUAAUAAUCAGGUCACUCAGCUAAUGAAAAAAAUUAAACAACAUGAACUCAAUUAAAUAAUAUAAAACUUUUGAGUACUAGAUAAAAUAAGAAAAUUAAUAAAAAUUCAAUUUGAAAAUAAUCAAAUUUAUAAGAUACUUAAAACUUAAUUAAACCUACAAAUUUUCAUUAUAUGGAGUUAAAUACUAUAAAUAUUUACCACAUAAGUAGAAUGUUUAAAUAUAUAUUUCUUCACGUUGGAAGUUUUUUUCCUCUAUCUUAUAAGUUUUCUUUGUUUCUUUAAUAUUUUUUAAGCCAAUGUGAUUUUUUUAAUAUAAAAUAUUAUUAAAGAUAAAAUAUGAAGAUAGGGUAAUUAAAUAUAAUUUUUUAUUUUUUAGAAAUGAUGAAAAUUAUAAUUAAAUUAACUAAAUUAUAUAAAAUUCUAUUUCAUUUACAUAACUACUUUUCAUAUUAAAAAAACUAUAUAAGAUCUUGAAACUAUAAUUAAUAUUUCUACUCAUUUUUCGUUUUUGUUGGUGAAAUCUUGAUUUUGGGAUAGUAUUAGUGAGAUAUUGUUUGGAGUUAAAAACAAGAAAUUCUUUUGCAUAAUCAAUUUGAACAGUUUUGAUUUUGAAACCAGAUUUUCAGAGAAGAGUUUAAAGCGUUCAAAUGCAGCAAGAGCUUGAGAUUUAGCAUGCUAGAGAUAAAUUCAUGUAUAUUUUAAAUAUGCAUUAGGAAAAGAGAUAUCGUAUGAUGCAACAUUAUUAGCACAAACAACAAACAGCAGAACGUCCCCAAAUAUCAAUAUAGAUAAAUUCUAAAAGGUGAUUAUCCACACUGUUUUAGAACAACUUUGAUUACAGAAAAACUAUAACGCCCAAGUCUAUUAUGCCACAAGUGAAAAGAAGUUUUUUCAUAUUUAAAAGAUGUGUAGUUAGCAGAAAAAACAGAGGAUCAGAGAUCAAGAAAGACAGAGAGAUCAUCUUUAAGUGUGCCUUGUAGAAGAAUCUGUUUAGUUACUUAGUCUUUAACAUAGCAAGAAUGAGGGUGAAAUUCAAAAAACACAUUGUUGUUACGAGCAAACUUUGAAACACUAAGCAAAUUCUUAGUAUAAUGAGAAACAUGUAAAAGAUCAAGGAGAGAGAAGGAAGUACAAGAGGUAGACGACACACAGGAAGCAGAACCAAUGUGGGAGAUUUUUAUACCUGCACCAUUACCAAGUUUAACGUUCGCAAUGCCAUGAUAGAUUUGUUGAUCAUUGAACAGAGUAUGGUCGUUUGUUAUAUGGUGAGAGACACCGCUAUCUGGGUACCAUAAUGGAUCUUCUAAAGAUGAUGGUGGACCAAGAAGAGAGUAAGAAGAGUCAUCACGUGGAGGUGGAGAGAAAUGAGAUGUGUUUGCAGAGGAGGAUGGUGGUGUAGUACGAUCAAACCAGUGCCAACAAUGAAGAGCAGUGUGUCCAAGUUUGGAGCAUAUUUGACAGCGAACAGGGUUGCGUUUCCAUGAUGAAGACGUAGUGGAGUUCCAAGAAGAGUAUUGGGAAGGUCGGGGUUUGCCGCGGUUGAACUGAUUCUAGUUAGAUGUGGGAUUGUAACCACGACCACCACAGGAGGAGUUGGAAAAGGGGAGGUGGAGAGAAAUGAGAUGUGUUUGCAGAGGAGGAUGGUGGUGUAGUACGAUCAAACCAGUGCCAACAACAAUGAAGAGCAGUGUGUCCAAGUUUGGAGCAUAUUUGAGAGCGAACAGGGUUGCGUUUCCAUGAUUACGACAGUAAUAAAUGUAUUAUAUUCUUCAGAUAGCCUUCAAGGAUGAUGUCAAUAUGAUCAGUGGAAACAGGGGCAUCAAUAGCGGCAAGCAUGUUGACGGCGUUCUUGAUAUCAUGGAGAUAGGAGGAGAUGGAUCUGUGAUGACCUGAUUUUGUUGUUGGUACCAUUAGAGACUUGGGGACUGUCAUCAGUGGUGGAAGAAGUGGUUCUUGAUGGAACACUAGUGUCGUCAAGAAAAUGACCCAGUUUGAGCCCGCAAAUGGAGGCAAGGACUUGAUGUUUCCAGAGAAGAUAGUUAUCUUCAUCUAGUUUAAGAGUGAUGGGUGUUGUGAACUGUUGAACGGAAGGCAUGACCAGAGGUAACGGGCAAGAAGAAGAUGCAAAAGAAGAUGAAGAGAUAUGAGUGCAGUGCAUUAGAAUAGAGAGAGAAAGGAGAAAGAUAUUAUCUUAGUAUAUGUGCUAAAGGUAUAUAAGGAGUGCAGAACUGGAAACACUUACAAAGUUGUCGUUACACAGUUAUAGUAUGGUUAACAAUGUAUAAUACAGAAAACAUGCUUGUGUACUUUAUUUUUAUCUUUGAAAGUUUAGAACACAGAGGAACAUAGAUAGCUAGAAAAACCUGAUCUCCUUCCCAGAGUUGUUCAAGAUGGCAGCCUGGCAUUUCCAGGGUCACAGUCUGGCAUUUCCAGGGUCACUAGAUUUUGUGGGCAAAAGUUUGGAGGCCAGAAUCUUUGAGGGAAACCGUUCCAAUAAAGAAACUUUAGAGUGUCUGGCAGACCUACAAGAGAUGAUUCAAGAGACACAUUUGAUAUGAAUAUAGGCAUGUAGACCAUAAGCAUCAUAAGAUUGUCCAUCUUUUCGAAACUUUGUGCAUGUACUACAGCAUCUUUUACUUUGUUCGUAUGUAGUAAUAUACACUGUAUUGCAUCUGACCCCUGAAAGUAAAUCAAUUUAAUUAGGAGAAAAAAAACAUGAAAUGUUGCAUUGCAGGAUGUUUAAUGACAUCUCAGUGGUUUGCAAUUUUUUACAAAGUAAAUCCAUUCUCAAUUGAGUAACGACAUAAUACCUUGUUCUUUCUUAAAACCUCUCAAAUUUCCUCAGCAUUAAACAAUCGGCUGCGUUUUCCAGGAUGCUGAGGACACUCUUUACGAACAAUUUCUUGACUCAUUUCUNNNNNNNNNNNNNNNNNNNNNNNNNNNNNNNNNNNNNNNNNNNNNNNNNNNNNNNNNNNNNNNNNNNNNNNNNNNNNNNNNNNNNNNNNNNNNNNNNNNNGAUCCAUCUUUUUCUGCUGCUACCAUGUCGAACUCCCUUCAAAUCAAUACAAUGUCUUCACCAUCAAUCAGCCAAGUGAUUAAUGUUAAACUCACACAAGAAAAUUAUUUAUUGUGGUCUGCUCAAAUCCUUCCCUAUUUACGUAGUCAGGGGCUGGUUGGGUUUGUGGAUGGAUCCAUGCCACCACCAAACCAAACGAUUACGGUUGAGUCAAGUGAAGAAACAGGGAGCCGCAAAAUCCUGAAUUCACAGUCUGGUACCCCCAGGACCAGCUGGUACUCAGUCUCAUCAACUCAUCGGUUACCGAGGAAGUUCUCAGCACGGUGGUCGGAAUCACCACUGCACGAGAAGCCUGGGAUAUGCUGGAGCGGCAAUUUGCCUCCACAUCUCGAGCACGAGCAAUGCAGAAUCAUAUGGAACUCUCCACGAUCCAAAAGAAGGACAUGACAAUUGCUGACUAUUUUCGUAAAGUAAAACGUCUCGGAGACACUCUGGCUGCCAUUGGCAAGCGAGUAGAGGAUGAAGAACUCAUCGCCUACAUGCUGCAAGGACUUGGUCUAGAUUAUGAUCCUCUUGUCACAAGCAUUACAACUAGAACAGAUGUUUACACUGUCAGCGAUGUGUAUGCUCAUAUGCUGAGCUACGAGAUGCGUCAUCUGCGUAAUGGUACUCUUGAGCAAUUUCCUUUUGCUAACAAUGUCAACAGCAUGUCUAAUCGAGGAGGAACUAAUGGACGUCGUGGUGGUCGUGGUCGUCAAUCAAAUGGUGGUCGAGGACAAACAUGGCACACUAGAAACAAUUCUGGACGUCAGCCAUCAAAGGCACAAAGUAACUCAGACAAAGUCUGUCAGAUUUGUGGUAAGCCAAACCAUGAUGCUUUGCAAUGUUGGCACAGAUUUGAUCAGGCAUAUUAAGCCGAAGACAAUCUUAAACAAGCAGUUGUGGCCACAAGUGGAUAUACUGGUGAUGCAAACUGGUACGUAGAUACUGGAGCCACAGAUCACAUCACCAACGAGUUAGAAAGACUUACCACCAACGAACAUUACAAUGGCACUGAUCAGAUUCAAGUUGCAAAUGGCUCAGGUUUUUCUAUCUCUCAUAUUGGGAACUCAUUAAUUUCUGGUUCAUCUAGAUCUCUUGUACUGAAACAUAUCCUAUAUGCUCCUAAAAUCAAUAAACAUCUGAUUUCAGUACAAAGACUAGCAUCUGAUAAUAAUGCCUUUGUGGAAUUUCACCCACACUGUUUUUUUGUUAAGGACCGAGCCACGAAGGAACUUCUGCUCACAAGUAGAUGUAAGAAUGGCCUCUACACUUUACCAAAUAACUCCAGCAAAGCAUUCCCGACAGCCAAACUUUCGAAAGAACAAUGGCAUAGAAGACUUGGGCAUCCUGCUUUCCCAGUCACAAUUAGAAUCUUGAAAAAUAAUAACUUAGCUCUAGAUACUAGAGUUUCUUCUUCCUUAAUUUGCCAUGCUUGUCAACUAGAAAAGCACAUCAAUUACCCUUUGUUUCUUCUCAACAUGUAUCUACAGCACCUCUUCAAUUGAUUCAUACUGAUGUAUGGGGUCCAGCCAUUGUCUUAGUGAAUAAUUCUAAAUAUUAUGUUUCAUUUGUUGAUGAUUUUAGCAGAUAUGUUUGGAUUUAUUUUUUGAAAUACAAGUCUGAUGUUGAGUCUGUGUUUCAUCAGUUUCAAAAACAUGUUGAAACCAUGCUAAACACCAAAAUUCGCUCUGUCCAGUCAGAUUGGGGGGGUGAAUACCAUCGUUUGCACCAAUAUUUCAAAACAACUGGAAUUGAGCAUCGUCUUUCUUGUCCUCACACACAUCAGCAAAAUGGGUUGGUAGAAAGAAAGCACAGACACAUUGUGGAAACUGGCCUUACUUUACUUGCCCAAGCUAACAUGCCUUUGUCCUAUUAGGAUGAAGCCUUCAAUACAGCUUGUUACCUUAUAAAUAGACUACCAUCUCGAAUCAUACAAGCAAGACACACCACUUCAUAAAUUAUUUGCAAAAAAUCCAGAUUACACCAUGCUUAAGGUGUUUGGCUGUGCUUGCUGGCCCAAUUUAAGGCCUUACAACACCAAGAAACUGAGUUUUCGAACCACUAAGUGUGUCUUCUUAGGCUAUAGUUCUUCUCAUAAGGGAUACAAGUGCUUAGAUAGAAGUACAAAACGAAUUUACAUCUCUAGAGAUGUAAUCUUUGAUGAAAAUGUGUUUCCUUUUGAAGAAUUAAAUUCUAAGUCAUCAAUCCAAACCAAAAAUUCACACCAGCCUGCUCUACUUCCAACCUUCGUUAAACCCGUUCCAUACACUGAAAAUGCUCUCACAAAUAUUGAACCAGUUGUUAAUGAUUCUCGUAUAAUUGAUGGUCAAUCUAAUGAUGUUGCUAAUAACAACUUGUCUGGUAUAAGCUUACAUCCUGCAGAUAAUACAAUAAGUCCAGAAAUUGUUGCAGAACAGGAAGCUGAGAACAGUCUGACCAAUUUCCAAGAACAGAUGUUCNNNNNNNNNNNNNNNNNNNNNNNNNNNNNNNNNNNNNNNNNNNNNNNNNNNNNNNNNNNNNNNNNNNNNNNNNNNNNNNNNNNNNNNNNNNNNNNNNNNNGAACAAGAUUGAAAAAUAACAUUGUCCAAGCAAAACAGUUCACUGAUGGUACUGUCAGAUAUUCAGAGACCUCAAGAAAGUUUACCGGUGCUGUCACUGUCAAAAAUCCGACCACAAUAAAUGUACUAAAAAAUGCUACUGAGACUGAUACAGUUACUGAACCUCAAAACCUGCAGGAAGCUCUACAAAGUCCAGGUUGGCAGGAAGCAAUGAAUAAUGAGCUCUCAGCAUUACAACACAAUGAGACUUGGGAUUUCGUUCCACCAAAACCUGGCAUAAAUCUCAUUGAUAGUCGAUGGGUGUAUAAAGUGAAAAGGAAAGCGGAUGAAUCAGUGGAGAGAUUGAAAGCAAGGUUGGUUGCUAAAGGGUUCAAGCAAAGAUUUGGCAUUGAUUACAUUGAUACCUUUAGCCCCGUGGUCAAGCCAUCAACAAUCAAAGUUAUUCUUUCACUAGCAGUAACCAAAGGCUGGAAUAUGAGACAAGUUGAUAUCCAAAAUGCAUUCUUGCAUGGAAUUUUGGAAGAGGAAGUGUACAUGCGACAACCAUCGGGAUUUCAAGACCCAUAUAAACCAAAGGAAUACAUAUGCAAACUCAAGAAAGCGCUUUAUGGCCUGAAACAGGCUCCAAAGGCUUGGCACUCAAGACUGACUGGAAAACUUAUGGAAUUAGGCUUUAGAGCUUCUGUAGCUGAUUCAUCUUUGUUUAUCCUCAAAAACAAAGAGGUAACCAUCUAUAUGCUCAUAUACGUUGAUGAUAUAAUUAUCGUGAGCUCCUCUGAUCAAGCCACCGAAAGGUUGAUUCAGAAGUUGAAAAUAGAUUUUGCUAUAAAAGACUUAGGUGGUCUUGAGUAUUUUCUGGGUAUUGAAGUCAAGAAGGCAAGAGAUGGCAUCACANNNNNNNNNNNNNNNNNNNNNNNNNNNNNNNNNNNNNNNNNNNNNNNNNNNNNNNNNNNNNNNNNNNNNNNNNNNNNNNNNNNNNNNNNNNNNNNNNNNNAAAUUAUUCAAAGAGCAGGGAACACUCUUGUCAAUUGAAGAACAAUUUAAAUACAGAAGUACUGUGGGAGCAUUGCAAUACUUGACAAUGACCAGGCCUGAUUUGGCAUUUGCUGUCAACAAGGUUUGCCAAUACCUUCAUACGCCUACUGAUGCUCAUUGGAGUGUUGUAAAGAGAAUCCUUCGUUAUGUCAAGGGCACAUUAGAUUUGGGAAUCAGAAUUCAGAAGUCUCCAACAAUGCUGCUGUCCGGAUUUUCUGAUGCUGAUUGGGCUGGUUGUCCUGAUGAUCGACGUUCAACUAGCGGCUUUGCUGUAUUUCUUGGAGCAAAUCUAAUUUCUUGGAGCUCUAGAAAACAAACCACAGUGUCCAGAUCGAGCACCGAAGCAGAAUACAAGGCCAUUGCGAAUCUGACAGCAGAAAUGAUUUGGAUAAAAUCAUUAUUGAAAGAGCUUGGUGUGUAUCAAUCAAAAGCUCCUCGACUCUGGUGUGACAAUCUAGGAGCUACAUACUUAACUUCAAAUCCAGUGUUUCAUGCAAGAACAAAACAUAUUGAAGUUGACUUCCAUUUUGUUCGAGAACAAGUGGCACGCAAAGCAAUGGAAGUUCAGUUUAUUUCAUCAAGUGAUCAAGUGGCUGAUAUCCUAACAAAACCACUGUCUAGAACUCUCUUUAUUACACAUUGUAACAAUCUCAACAUGUAUAAAACCUGUUGGGAUUGAAGGGGACUGUUAGAAUUAGUCAGUUAGAAGUGGAACACGUUUGUAGAAGUGGAACACGUUAGUUGGUUAGUUGCCUUAAGAAGCGGAUCAUGGAUCCAACCGUGUAUGCAAUCAGUUACCUUUCUUUAAUUAUAAAUACAAUACGUCCUCCACAUAGAGAGGUACAGUUAGCAAACUUUAUUAGAGCUGAAUCGGUAACAUCAUCAAGAAUGAGGAGAACCUUUGUCCGUUUGAGCCUUUCAUUGUAAUAUGGUGAAGAAGAGGAUUUCUCUUCCUUUAGAAGCUCAGACUGAUAUUUUGUUCUGAUACUGUCUAUUCCAUCUCUUUGUAUUUUUUCUUGAACGUCUAAAACAAGGCUGCUGGAAUCAAACUGCAAUGCCAAUUUGUGAUAUAUUUGAUUACAAAUUGUAGUUUUUCCUAUUCCUCCCAUGCCACAAAUUCCUAUGAUCCGAACAUCCGGUGACUCAAGAUGCAACAAGGACUGAAUUCCUUCAAUAUGUUUUUCAAUGCCGAUGAUUCCUUGAUCAUAACUGAUGGAAUAACGAUUCAAUUUUUUCAACAAGUGUGUGUUCUGUGCUGGCAGAUGAUUUAGAAAAUAAUGUAUAAGUAUUCAAGCACAAAAGCUAAACUAAAGAAAAAUUCUACAGCAUCCGUUUGUGACUUCUGAUACUAGGGAGAAGACUUGUAGGUACAAAGUUAAGCUAUAACAUGUAAUAUGGUUCAGAUCUAAGACCGACUAAUAGAAAUGAAAAAAGAAGCACUUGAUUUAGGGUGAGAUGAACACAAUUUUAGUAAAUGAAAAGAGAUCCUGAUUAUCUGGAAAGUGCGUGACCUGGUGACUUUUGAAUCCCAGCCUGCAAGUUCAGCAGCUUCGGUGAGAGCAUCCUUCCAUCCUUGCACUUUAUCGUGCUUAAAGUGCUGCUCAUGCUUUUCGAAUGCUUCUUUGUAUCUUUGUUCCUGCUUCCUAAUAGUUGAUGGAUCCACCUUGUAGAAAACAGGUAUGACAUCCCUUCCAAAUCUCUUCUUGCAUUCAAGUAUCUUAGUGAGUUCAUUCAAGCACCAAGUGGAAGAUGCAUAGUCUUGGGAGAAAACGAUGACAUAAAUCUUUGAAAAAUAAGUAUGAAAUCUAGAUAUAUAUCAUUAUCACGUGUGGAAGCUACGUCGUCUUGUAUUGGAUUUUCUAAUCUGCCUUUUAUCUUGUCUCAUUCUUCUUUAUCUUUUUUCUCUCAUCUCUCUUGCUUACGAUUUCUUUGCCUUUAUUCAGAAAUUUUAGUUAUAAUAAACCUUCAAUAAUAUUUGUACUUUCUAGCAUAUAGAAUACUUAAUGGAUCCUUUUCUGAUUUUUCUUUUCUAAAGUUCAAUUGAUUUUUUAAAUGUUUUUCUAUUUAAUUUUCCUUUCUUAAUGACACAUAAAAUGGUUCAGUGCACAAUUAAUUAUUCUCACCUUAGAUUUCAUUCAUCUCAUUCCAUUUCCACACUCAAAUCAUUCUCACAUUUGUUUCUACCUGUUUCACAAAGUUUUAGUUAAAAUAUGGAAAUUAAUGUUCAAGAACCCUACUUAAUAUUAAUAUUCAACAAUUUAAAAUAUUAAAAUGCAAAUUAAUCUUUCUUAAUAAUGUCAUUUUUAUGUAAAAAAUAAAAUGUAGUUUAGUCAUUUAUACUUAGAUGGAUAAAGAUGAUUUUAGAAAAAAAAAAUGCAUUUUAUUUCAAAGGUUAACUAAACUCUGAACUCAUUUAUGAAUUAAUAAUAAUAAAUAAUAUGUAAUUGUAUUCCAAUACCAUAUAAAUUUUUUUUAUUGGGUGCGUUUCUGAUGAAUUAAUGCACUCUAGGGACAAUGAUCGCUCUAGUAUUUGAUUUUUUAUUUAUUUUAAUGUUAAAAUUAUAGCUAUGUAGUACAGAUAUUACUGACACAGACAGACACGAACACGGACACAGAAAUACAUAAAAUCUCUAAAAUGUAGAAUACGGAGACAUUAAUCUAUAUAUUAUAUAAUUAUGAAUCAUAUAAAUUAACAAUAAAGAUUUAUGUGCACAAGUAUUUUUGAGAUUAUUUUUUAGAACAGAAAUAUGUUUUUCAUGACUAGUUCACAAAUAUUUGUUUCUUAUUCUUAUAAUCAUAAUAACAAUUUAUACCAUAAAGUUUCAAUUUUAGAAAAUUAAUGUAUUUUUUCUUUUUAAAAUUUCGUUAGAACUGUACUAGAAUUGUAAAAAAUCUAACAAAUACAUUUUGAAUUGGACAUUCCACGAAUACGUGUCCUACCAGUAUUUUGAACAACAUUCUUUCUUUUGGAACAAAGAGGGCAUAUGCCGCAGUCUUUUACUGUGAUAACUCAUUUCAACUCUCACACAACUGAUUCGUAAUCUGUGGGAUGCAUUAAAGCCUUUUGCAGUUAAAUCAAUAGUAUAUGAUGAUGUGAAUGUUAUUUAUAUACUAAAUAUAAUCACAUAGUAACUUCAAAUUUGAUAAGGUACAACAUGUUACCAUAUCUCUUUUAAUUUAUUUUAUUUCAUUAUAUAUUUAGGUGUAUUUAAUUUCUUUUAUUUCAUUGUGUAUUUAGGUGUAUUACGUAAAAUAUAUAAUUAAAAAGAAAGAAGAAUAAUGUUAUUUUGAAAUUUAAAGAAGACAUAUAGAAAUAAACAAGCUUUUGCUAAGAUUCCACCAUUGAAAAGGAACAUAGAACAAUCUUGACAAUUAUACUUUGACUUAUUUUAAUUUCUUAUAUUUAUGAGUAUUAUUUUUUCUUAAACAUAGAUAUUGGAUAAAAAAUACAAAUAACAUUUCUUUAUUUCAAAUUUAAAAAUAUUUUAAAUUAAAAUAAAAUAAUUUUUUAAUUAAGAUAUAACAAAAUAUUCUUUAACAAAUUAUUUUAAUUUCAAAAUAAUUAAUUCAGAGGACGAUUGAAAAAAUAUUAAAUAUUAUAAUAAAGCUUCAAUAAUAUUUGUACUUUCUAGCAUAUAGAAUACUUAAUGGAUCCUUUUAUGAAUUUUCUUUUCUAAAGUACAAUUGAUUUUUUAAAUGUUUUUCUAUUUAAUUUUUCUUUCUUGACACAAAAUGUUCAGUGCACAAUUAAUUACUCACCUUAGAUUUCGUUCUUCUCUUUCCAUUUCCACACUCAAAUCAUUUUCACCUUUUUUUUCUUCUUAUUUCACAAAACUUUAAUUAAAAUAUGGAAAAUAAAGUUCAAGAACCCUGCUUAUAUAUUAAUAUUCAAAAAUUUAAAAUAUUAAUAUGCAAAUGAAUAUUUCUUAAUAAUUUUAUUUUGAUGUAAAAAAUAAAAUGUAGUUUAGUCAUUCAUACUUAGAUGGAUAAAGAUGGUUUUAGAAAAAAAAAAAGAAUAUGCAUUUUAUUUGAAAGGUUAUCUAAACUCUGAACUCACUGAUGAAUUAAUAAUAAUAAAUAAUAUGGAAUUCUAUUCCAAUACCAUAUAGGAUGGAGAAAAGUAAGAAGAGGAUUUACACAUUACCCUUUCAAAUGGAGCUCCUCAGGAUUUCAUAAUGCCUUCACUGCAAAUGCAACCCAAAUAUGCUAAAAAAGUUAAUGAAACUAUAUAUGAAGAGUUAAUGAAACUAAAUGGCGUGUGCUGAAAUUUUUGAUCCGAUAACCAUGCCCACAUUCAAAAAGUGAAAGGUUACUUUGCUUUAUAUUCCUUUGGGUGGUGCUACUUUUCAACUUGACAACAAAUUCCCAUUAUUGUGUGGUUAUCAAUUACCAUUUAACUUAUUCUCAUACCACAUUCACUAUAUAAUAGUCCAUCAUAAACCCCAAAAUUUGCACAUUUUCUAUUUGCAAGACAUCCAACAGACAAAGAAAACAUGUGAAACUGUGUAAUAAUGUGAGAACGUAAGAACUUACUUCAUCAUGAAAUCAAGCCAUGCCUGAGGGUUUUUUCUGAGAGCAUUCACCACAGGUGCAUAUUCAUGUGGCUGUAUCCCAUACUCAGCUAGUAUUUCUGCUACCUCUGCCGCUUCUUUUUUUGUCAAAAAACACAUAUUCAUUAUUAAUGUGCAAUCAAAUGGUAACGAAACUAUGUAGUACAAACACACACUGAUACGACACUAGGACGAACAUACGUAUAAUGUUACUCCUUCUAUGGAAAUGAAGGAUAUUCAGCAAUAACUUUUAAAACUCAUUACAUAGAAAUUUGCAUCAAGUUAUCAAAGUCUAUAGGAAUGAAUUUUCAAUUCAUGGAAACACAGAUAACAAAAAGUAAUAGAAAAAUAGAAAAAAAGUUGUCAAAUGAUUCUAUAAAAAAUUAACCUAUCAUGAAAAUCAAGAUGAUAGAAAAUAAAAUAAUGUGGCAUGAACAUCAAAAUCGUAUAAAAGCAUAAUAGAAGAACAGUGGAUACCAGUUUCUGGCACGGCGAUGAUUUCUUCUUGCUCUCUUUUCAAUUCCCUCGAGUAAUUAUCGGCUUCACUUUUUGCUGCCAAAUAACUGCACAAUGAAAAUUAACAUGAAAUAAUAACGGAAUUUAAAUUGAGUUUUGUGAGUGUGAAGAGUGUGGUUGAACGUACCCGCCGAGGCCCAUGGAGAUGGCGCCGGCGGCGACUUCCGCUAUGCCAGCGGUGAGAACGAUGGAGGAGGUGACAUUGGCGCCGGAGAGGCCGGCGGCGAGGGCGAAGGGGACGGUGAGGCCGUCGGAAACGCCGAUGAUGAUGUCGCGGACUAUUUCGCCGGCGGUGAAGUGCUUCUCGGUGUGGUGGUUGAGAAGGUUCGUUCUCUCAGAAUCCACGCUUAUGCCGUGUUCGGUGGCGGCCAUUGGUGCAAGCUUGUGAAUGUGUUUGAGUUCGCCAACGUGCUCUGGGAAUCCAAACAAAGCCUUGCUGCUUUGCACAUAAAUUGAGCCUCUUUUGUGCUCAACUUACUCCUAAAUAGAACAAAAAUAUCUAACCGUUGAUGAUAUCCACGUGGAAAAUUAUCAAUGGAUAUCAAUAUCACAUUAUUUCUACACUAAUAUUUUAAUUAUUUUUAAAUAUUAUAACUAAAUCAAUCAAUAUAAUACCAAAUCUUCUUAAUUCUUUGGAUUAUAUAUAUUUUAUUUUAUUUUAUUUAUAAAGGAAGUUGUGAUAAAUGUUGUGUUUUGUGUGCACAUUAAUAAAAAUCAAAUAACCAAAAAAUAAUAAUCUUGUGAAAGAAAAAAUGGUAGAAUUUAUACUAUUCUACAAAAUUUUAAAAGUGGCUAAUGUGUUUUACUCAACUAUGUAAAUAAUUUUGGACUCUCUUGUUAAGGAAAUAAUGAAAUACAUUAAAUUUUGUUUUAUACUCUUACUUUAAGUUUUUUUGUGUUUCUCCUGACUUAAUUAAAUAUCAGAGAGUCGUCUUUUGCAGGUAGAUUUCAUUCUAUCAUAAUAUACCAACUGAAAACUUGUUUUCUGAAAAACACACGGCUCUCACCGAAUUGCACUUUCCAAUUUUUUUUAAUAGAAAUAAUAAUAAUUAAGUAUUUGUGUUCUUAUAUUUAAUUUUUAAUAAAAAAAUUAUUCUUAUGUACUUCUAAAUUGAUAUAUUUUACCAAUGUCUAUUAACAAUGGGAAGAAGUUUAUACCUAACAAAACUAUUUAACAUGAUUUGUUUGUAAAUUAUAGAAGUAUGUGUAGAAAGAUAUAAAAUUAAUGUUUUAAGAGAAAUUUAAGCAACUUUCAUAAUAUAUUGUAGAUUAUUAGUUGAAUUUAUGGAAAUUAAAAAUAAAUUGUAGGUCACCACACUUCCACUUUUUUUUAAUGAUAUCAAAUCACAACUUUACAAUUUUCACUAAUUUUUAACCAAUAACAAAAGAACAUCUUAGAAGAAGUGUGUUUAAGAAUUUGAUGUUAACUCUCAUUGUUUUUUAAACUUAAAUCCAGCUUUAUUCUUCAACUUUUAAUUUUUAUACAUAUUUAAUUGUAUAUAUAGUUUUUAACUCUCUAAAAUCAAACAAUUUUAAUUCAUUAAAUAGGCAAUGUCAUGAGUGUUAAACUUUUAACAUUUUUCUAGUAAUUAAAUUACUUAUGAAGAUUCAACUAAUUCAAAAUUUAAUAUUUUUACAAUUUUUAUUAUAAUAUUCUUAAAAUAUAUUUUAAUAUUUUGUUUUUCAUGUUUGAAAUAUAAAUGUUUUAAAAAAUCAUUUUAAAUUAUUUUGUUUCUCAUCUUAUGUAAUAAAUUACUAUAAUAAUUACUAAAACAUUUAAUACCUAUACAUUUUUAAUGAGCAAAAACUAAUAAUGAAUUAUAACAAAUAAAAAACGUUUCUGGGCAACAAAAUAGUAAUUAAUAUGAAUUAUAACAAAUAAUGAACGUUUUGUGGUAAUUUGUUUCACUUUCAAAUAAGUUAGUACUUCGCCUGUUAUUUCAUAACGGUAGUUUUUUUAAAUAUAUUAAGAAAAAUGUUUAUUUUUUUAUUUUUAAUGCACUUUUAAGUAACUUGCCUAUUAUAUUAUAUUAUAUGGGUAUUAUAUAUAUAUAGGUAAGCACCAAAAAAUAAAUUUAAGGUAAAAGUGAUAUAAUUAAAAUAAAAUAAAUUAUUAUUAAAUAGAAAAUAUAUAUAAUUAAAAAAAUCAGUUAUUUAAGUUUUAUUUUAAAAUAAUUUUUGUAAAAAAAUUUUCUUUUUUUCCUUGUUCACGAUUUUAAAUUUUAUAUUCACUUGGUAGACAUGUUUUGCAUGUGGUGUUUGGGACUUAAAAGAAUAAUAUAUGUUAGUUCAAGAUCCUAAUGAUGUGUUUUUAAGAAGUUGGACUAUCUUUGUUUUUUUAAGAAGUUGAAGUCUUUUUAUGAAUACUUAUCUUUUUAAACAGGUAAGAUAAACUAGUUUUAUCUGUAAAACUUAAGUUAGAAUAUCUGAAUAUGAAAUGUGAUUCUUCAUAUGAUUAUGAUUGAAUGAUUCAAAAUUCAAGUAUAAAGUUUUAAGAAUCAUUAACUUAUGUUUUUUUUUUUGUGCUAUUUUUUUGAUUUUUUGCAAUGAUUGUGUGUUGCAUGUGAGCAAAUGAUGUUACAAGUUGUAAACCUAAAAAAAAAUCAUGAAAUUUUGUCUUUUUUAUUCUUUUGAUAUUUUAUCUUAAUGAUAUAUAUAUAUAUAUAUAUAUAUAUAUAUAUAUUUAAAAAUCUCUAUAUGAAAGGAUAGUAUUUUAUGAUAUAAUAAUAUGAUAAUGUAAAUGUUAUUUAUAUAAUAAAUAUCAUGAGAUAAUUUAAAUUUUGAUAAGAUAAAUGAAGAUGUUACAAUAUCUCUUUUAAUUUUUUUUUAUUUCAUUAUAUAUUUAGGCGUAUUUAAUUUCUUUUAUUUCAUUGUAUAUUUAGGUGUAUUACGUAAAAUAUAUAAUUAAAAAGAAAAAAUAAUGUUAUUUUGAAAUUUAAAGAAUGACGUAUAGAAAGAAACAAGCUUUUGUUAAAAUUCCACCAUUGAAAAGGAACAUAGAACAACACUCUUGACAAUUAUACUUUGACUUAGAUACUUAUUUUAAUUUAUUAUAUUCAUGAGUAUUAUUUUUUCUUAAACAUAGAUAUUGGAUAAAAAUUAAUAAAAUUUAUUUAUUUCAAAUUUAAAAAUAUUUAAAAUUAAAAUAAAAUAAUAUUUUUAAUUAAGAUAUAAAAAAAUAUUCUUUACAAAUUUUUUUAAUUUCAAAAUAAUUAAUUCAGAGGAUGAUUGAAAAAAUAUUAACAAUCUAUUUAUGCGUUUAUAGUAAACCUUCAAUAAUAUUUGUACUUUCUAGCAUAUAGAAUACUUACUGGAUUUCUUACUCUUUCUUUCUACACCUCUAUCCAUACUAAAUAUAAAAAUACCAUUUUAUUCUUUUUUCUCCACCCCUUGAAUUUGAAAUAAUAAGCCCAUGGAUUAUGUAAUCUGGAUAUAUUCCGGAUUAGUCAAUUUCAUAUUUAGAAAAGACUUUCGGAUUAUGUAAUCCAGAAGCUAAUAAAACAUCUGAAAAAAAGGCUUCCGGAUUACAUAAUCCGGAAGCUAAUCUUAUGUAUAGAAAAGACUUUCGCAUUAUGUAUUCCGGAAGCUAAUCACAAAAGACUUCUGGAUUACAUAAUCCAAACGCUAAUUCUAAAUCUAGAAAAAAGACUUCCGGAUUAUGUAAUCCGGAAUAUUAAAAAAGAUAUUUUUGAAAUACGAAAAAUUUAUGGGGGUGACACAAGAAGGUAUGGAGGUGCAGGAAGAAACAGCCUGGAUUCCUUUUGUGAUUUUUCUUUUCUAAAGUACAAUUGAUAUUUUAAAUGUUUUUCUAUUUAAUUUGUCUUUCUUAAAUGACACAUAAAAUGUUCAGUGCACAAUUAACUACUCACCUUAGAUUUCGUUCUUCUUUUUCCACUUCCACACUAAAAUCAUUUUCACAUUUUUUUUACCUAUUUCACAAAAAUUUAAUUCAAAAAUGGAAAUUAAAGUUCAAGAACCCUACUUAUAUAUUAACAUUCAACAAUUUAAAAUAUUAAUAUUCAAAUUAAUCUUUCUUAAUGUUAUGAAAAAUUUAAAAUGUAGUUUAGUCAUUCUUGGAUGGAAAAAGAUGGUUUUAGAAGAAAAAAAUGCAUUUUAUUUGAAAGGUUAUCUAAACUCUAAACUCAUUGAUGAAUUAAUAAUAAUAAAUAAUAUGGAAUUCUAUUGGAAUAGCAUAUAAAUGUUUUGUUGUUGAAACUGAUAAUUGGGUGCGUUUCUGAUGAAAUUAAUUAAUGCAGUCUAGGGACAAUUAUCGCUCUAGUAUUUCAUUUUUUUAUUUUUAACGUUGAAAUUAUAAUUAUACAAUUCCGUUUUUAGAUAUUAAAAUGAUAGUUUUCAUUUACAGAUUAAAAUAUUACUUGUUUCUUUUAAGAUUUUUUUGGUAUUAUAAUUAUUUGUUAGCUGAAUUGUUUUGCGUUAACAUGUUGUUUUCUUGGGCUAUGAUGUAAGCAAUAUAAAUGUUAUUUUUAAUGUAAGCAAUAAAAAUUAUGAGUAUUCAAAGUCGUGUAAUUACUUAAAAGAAUCAAGUGAUUUUUAAAAGAACUCACACGAUCAGUUUUAAUUUUGACGAUAAAAUAUAUUAGUUAUAUAUAUUUAUUCAAAAUUUCAAUUAUACUAUGCAUUUAUGGUUUUAUGCUUUUAGAGGAAUCAGUAACUUAGAAAAGCUCCCAAAAACUAAUGAAAUCCCAUGAAUGAAGAAGGAGAACAAAUGGAAGUGAAAAAUCAGUAAGAUGAUAAUUAAUAAACACCCUCUCUUAAUAACAUAACAUAGGAGUCUUUAAACUUAUAUUCUUCAAACAAUUAUAAGCUGUCUUCAACUUUACUGUUAAACUACAAUUAUAAAGAAUUAACAAUCUCACACACCAACAACAUUUAUAAGUCAUCACUCACAUGCAACAAGGUGUGCCUCAAUGUGAAAAAACCAAGAUCAAUAAGAAAUGAGGUUCCACUUAACCAAGCUGAGAAUUGUCUGGUUUUCCAGCUCCAUGCACAAACCUAAUACAAUGAUAUGAUAUUCAAUACCAAGAGGUACCUUGUCGUAAAACUGAGAAUAUGAGGUUGCAUAGGAUGGAGAAAAGUAAGAAGAGGAUUUACCAAUUACCCUUUCAAAUGCAGCUCCUCAAGAUUUCAUAAUCCCUUCACUGCAAAUGCAACCCAAAUAUGUUAAAGAAGUUAAUGAAACCGAAAUAUGAAGAGUUUCAAAAUAAAAAUUUAACAUGUUGAAACUUGUAAUUUAGAAGUAUUGACUAUAAGGCAGUUUAGAUCCUGACCAAUGAAAGACUAAUAAGCAGAAGAGGAAGAGACUAGUUGACUGGCUAGCUUUCGGCCUUCCACUUCCUAUCUUCCCUUGUUUCUCUUGAAGACUGUGCAACAUUGCUUCCACUGGAUUCUUCAAUCUCAACAGCACCACCAUAUUCAUCAUCUUUCUUUUUCGUAUAAAGAGGGCAUAUGCCGCAUUCUUUUAUUGUGAUAACUGAUUUCAACUCUCUCACAACUGAUUCGUAAUCUGGCCACCCAAAGUCAUAAUCACACGGACUGAUCUCAAAAGUGAAGCUGCGAGCAUCACAUAGCCUGAGGCUCAUGCCGCUCGCCCUUAGGGACUCCAAGUUAAAUUUCCACACGAAUGUGUGAUCUUUAUCAACACAUCUCUCUUCACCAUUCCAUUUGAAAUAGCUGUUUAACACAUCAUUAUUUGGAAUGAUCUGUGUGCCAUCAUCAUCAGAUUCAAAUGUUAGGCUGUAACUAAAAGAACCAUAUCUACCAUUCAUAGCAUACGUAUCUAACACUCCAAAAACCACACUCAAAGCGAAACCAGUGAGCCUAUCAUCGCUGCAGAAACUUAAAUCUUCAUUUAUAGUCACUGAAUGUCCCUUCCCACGAAAAUUGAACCAACCAGGAACUGCACUCCCUGGAAAACAGAAGAACACACACCUAUAUGCAUCGUCGGUCAUCCUAAGCCUUGCAUCCUCCUCAAUGUUAGCACGACCACCUGAAUCCAGUUGUUGAGCAUUGGUGAAAUGAAAUUUAAAUACACCCUCUUCGGAAUUUGAGAGGUUUCGAACAAGAGAAUUUGGCAUCACUCUUCUAAUGGAUGGGCAAUCCAAUGCCACGAGUUGUUUCAGAAAUGGUGGAAUCUGUGGGAUGCAUUCAAGCUUUUUGCAGUCGCUUAAAUCAAGCGAUUUCAAACUUGAAAGAUGAGCAAUGCUCCCAGGAAGGUUCACGAUUCCGCUAUUACGCAGUGAAAGUUUCAUUAAUGACGUCAAACGACCAAUGUGUCUAGGGAUUUCUGUUAAUUUGGGGCACCCCGAACAAUCAAGUUUAGAGAGAAGCUUCAGAUUAACAAUGCAGUUUGGAAGUGAGUCGAGAUCAGUGCAUUUGUGGAGCUCCAGGGAUCGAAGAUUAACCAAAUUGCCAAAUGAGGAAGGCAAUUCUUUAACAGCCGUAGAUGUUAAGUUAAUGUGAGCAAAAGUAUGAGCCGGCUCCGUGAUCUCUGGGAAGGACCUCAGCCUUGAGCAACCACCUAAAUCAAACUUCCUCAAUUUCAAAUUGAAAAUGGUGCUUGGAAAAGUUUGAAGUGAAUUACAGUGGGUAAGGUCUAACUUGCAUAGUCUGGUGAGGGUUCCAAUGGAAGAUGGAAUAAUCUGAAGAUUGAAGCAACUGCGCAAACUCAGUUGUUGAAGCCCUACCAAACGGCACAAGGAUGAAGGUAGUGCCUGUAUGGCUGUGUCGUCUAAGAUGAGCACCGCUAGAUCUUCCAACGUGUCCUGAAUCUGGGGUAAAUAUUCCAAUUUUGAGCAACCACGGAGAGAAAGUUGCUUUAGGAAUUUCAUAUCAGAAAGGUCAAACGGAAAGAUUGUAAGGGAAGAACAGUCAGAGAGAUCUAAGUAACAGAGGUUCUUGAGACUUUGAAAGUUCAAGGGCACACCUCCUCUGAGAUUUGCCGACACUUCAAAUUGUAAGUAUAGAGUAUUAUUAGCCACUUCUUCAUUAUAUCUGUCAAAAGUAAUUGAGAAAAUUUCACUGGAACUUCGGAAAAUAUGAACACCGGAUGCACAUUGCGCUUCAACUAUCAUAUUUCCACGUUUAUGCCGCAGUUUCAUAUGAGGGAAUCUGGGUUCACUGGUUGAAAACAUAUUAAGCUUCCGACAACAGGAAAGAAUAAUCAAUCCUGGUAAUGUGGAUAAAAUGUUGUUGGGAAUAUUUACACUAUUCAGAUCAUAACAAUGAUCUAAACAUAAACAACUGAGCUUGCUGAGGAAUAUCGAAGAGUGAACUUCAAUCAACUUUGAACAAUAACUCAGCUUUAUUUCUUCAAUAUUUGGUGACGUAGAAAGGUCUGGUAUUCUAGUAAGGUUCGAAGAAUGACUCAGGUUGAGCCUUUUCAACUUGGGUAAAUUCUGCCACAAAAUGUAAAUGAAUCAGGUAACACAAAAACUAAAUUAAAGUUUUAGGCAAUUUUAUCUAUUUUUCUUCGGUAAACAAUAGAUGACAAUGUCGAAAUACUUUAUAUUAUGCAUGUAUCAACUGACAAAAUAAAACGAUGUUUUCUGAGAGUUAAAAUUAAACCUUAUUUAAAAUAAGUCCAUCUUUCCAUAUUUUAUAAUUUGUUGUAUAUUAUAUUGAAGUUUAUGUUAUAAUAAAAAAAAUGACUUAAUUAAUCAAAUAAUGUGGAGAAGGCACAAAGGAAUUGCAAAUGAAAACUUGUAUAUGUAUAAUACAGAAAACAUGCUUGUAUAAUUUAUUUUUAUCUUUGAAAGUUUAGAACACAAAGGAACAUAGAUAGCUUGAAAAACCUGAUCUCCUUCCCAGAGUUGUUCAAGAUGGUUGCGUGGCAUUUCGAGAGUCACUAGAUUUUGUGGGCAAAACUUUGGAGGCCAAAAUCUUUGAGGGAAAUCGUCCCAAUAUAGAAUCUUUAGAGUGUCCGGCAGACCUACAAGAGAUGAUUCAGGAGACACUUUUGAUUCCAAUCCCAACGUGUAGAGCCUAAGCAUCCUAAGAUUGUCCAUCUUUUCGAAACUUUGUGCAUGUACUACAACUUCUUUUACUUUCCACGUACCCCAGGUAUUUAGUAAUAUACACUGUAUUGCAUCUGACCCCUGAAAGUAAAUCAAUGUAAUUAGAAAAAAGCAUGAAAUGUUGCAUUUCAGAAUGCUUAAUGACAGAUCAGUAGUUUGCUAUUUUUCACAAAGUAACAACAGAAUAUACCUUGUUCUUUCUUAAGACCUCACAAAUUUCCUCAUCAUUAAACAAUCGGCUGCGUUUUCCAGGAUGCUGAGGACACUCUUUAUGAACAAUUUCUUUACCCAUUUCUUGUAUUAGAUCGUGCAUCACAAUUCUACCAUCAAUGACAGAUAUUAGGCCCCUAUCUUUGAGAAUAUCCAUUCCAAUCUUAGAAGAGAAACCAAAGUCAUCAAGUCUUUCUGCUACCUCAAUCUCCUGGCGUCCUCUAUAAAAGCAAGCUAUGUCAAGAAAUAUAUUCUUCUCCUCCUCCUCCAGCCAAUCAUAACUUAAUUUUAAUACAUUGAAAAUACCAAGAUGUUGGCCCUUUUUCAACUUUUGCAACUGACUCUCCCAUGCUUCUUUUGUUCUGCCAUAAAGCAAUGAUCCCAAAAUCUGGAGAGCUAACGGAAUCCCUUUUGCAUAUGUCAACACCUUUUUUGACAGUUCCCUGUAACCAAUUUCUUCUGAAGAUUUUUGUUUAAAAGCAUGUAAACUAAAAAGCUUCUGAGAAUCAUUAAAAUUCAACUCCUUAACUUCGUAGAUAUCAUCAGCUCCAGCAUUCCUAAGCACUUGUCUGUCUCUACUGGUGAUAAUGAUUCUACUGCCCUGCCCAAAACUAUCACUCCCUCUUAUUAAUUUUUGAAGUUGAGCUGAAUCGGUAACAUCAUCAAGAAUGAGGAGAACCUUUGUCCGUUUGAGCUCAGACAGAUAUUUUGUUCUGAUACUGUCUAUUCCAUCUCUUUGUAUUUUUUCUUGAACGUCUAAAACAAGGCUCCUGGAAUCAAACUGCAAUUCCAAUUUGUGAUAUAUUUGAUCACAAAUUGUACUUUUUCCUAUUCCUCCCAUGCCACAAAUGCCUAUGAUCCGAACAUCCGGUAAGUCAAGAUGCAACAAGGACUGAAUUCCUUCAAUAUUUUUUUCAAUGCCGAUGAUUCCUUGAUCAUAACUGGUGGAAUAACGAUUCAAUUUUCUCAAAAUAUCUCCCACAAUUCCUUCAACAAGUGUGUGUUCUGACCUGGCAGAUGAUUUAGAAAAUAAAGUAUAAGUAUUCAAACACAAAAGCUAAAGUAAACUAAAGAAAAAUUCUACAGUAACCGUUUGUGACUUCUGAUAAUAGGGAGCAGAUUUGUAGGUACAAAGUUAAGCUAUAAGAUGUGAUAUGGUUCAGAUCCAUGACCGACUAAGAGAAAUGAAAAAAGAAACACUUGAUUUAUGGUGAGAUGAACACAAUUUUAGUAAAUGAAAAGAGAUCCUGAUUAUCUAAUAAAUAUAAUGACCUGGUGACUUUUGAAUCCCAGCCUGAAAGUCCAGCAGCUUCGGUGAGAGCAUCCUUCCAUCCUUGCACUUUGUCCAUGUCGUGCUUAAACUGCUGCUCAUGCUUUUCGAAUGCUUCUUUGUAUCUUUGUUCCUGCUUCCUAAUAGUUGAUGGAUCCACCUUGUAGAAAACAGGUAUGACAUCCCUUCCAUAUCUCUUCUUGCAAUCAAGUAUCUUAGUGAGUUCAUUCAAGCACCAAGUGGAAGAUGCAUAGUUUUGGGAGAAAACGACGAUAUAAAUCUUCGAUUCUUCUAUUGCAGAGAGCAGUGCAGAUGAAAUUUCUUCGCCCCGGGGUAGUGUCUCAUCAAUAUAUGCUUCUAUGUUCUUCCUUUGCAGUGCUGGAUGAAGGUGGCUAAUGAAGUUGUCACGUGUGUCUUCCCCUCUGAAGCUGAGAAACACAUCAUGCUUUGUUAGAGAAGCAGACAUGGCCAAUGAUGAAGAACUUGCUGACAUUGGAAUCAAUUUUCUCUCCUUUCUCUGCAACUCUCAGUGCCUUUGU